CAAUUGCAGAGUGAUGCAGGUUAUACCAAUAGCAGUUAAUGUUCUUCUUAAAUGUGGGCGAGCCCAAGAAAAAUAAGAGUAUAAAAGAGGAAACAGACCUGGAACUUAUUGUAAUAUACAUCCAUCCAUCCAUUAACCAGGUUUUGUUACUUAGUUGGAACUUAAGGCUAAGCUAGACUUAGUUCGAUACUUAUCCAUCCAUUAACCAGGUUUUGUUACUUAGUUGGACAGAUUCUGAUAAACUUAGCUAUAAAGUGGAAAUGAGUGAAAGUUUAACACUGUAGGGGCACAUAAUCCUUGUUUGCUUGUGACACAGAAUACUGCUAAUUAAUAUUGUGCUGAAAAUGACUUUGGCGAAUUCUCAUAAACUUUCAAAGUUUUGUCUUAAGAAGGUUAAAACUUCCUUAGAAACCUAUGACAAGCAGCUAUGAUGCAAUCAGUCAACCAAAUCAAAAGGGCAGACAAUUAUAUUAUUGAAAUGCUCAACGGAAUUGCAAAAAUUCUCUGCAUCCAAGCAAUGCAGAGCUAAAAACACCAUAGGAUCAUGCCUGUUGAAAUAGCAAAAUCCAUUUUCUUUCAAAAUCUGAUUUAUGGGAUCAUGCCUAUGAACUGCUAGCAACGUACAUACAUAAAAAUAAAACAGGUAACACAGGGACAGAGAAGUUGGUUGGUGGAUUGUGGCUGGGGUUAGAGGUGGAUGGAUGGACUGGAGACUGUAGUUGGUAAAUUAGAAACACAGCAGACAGAAGUGUCUUGGAAUCUCAUGACUUGGGAAGCUGCCCUGCUUGUGUUUCAUUUCGUUUGAGGAAAGAUUUCAGUAUAUUAAGACAAAAGUGUUUCCACGGUUAUAUUCCCUUUUCAAUCAAGCAGCUACGGCAAGAAUCAGCCCGUGGCUUCACAAACUCAAUGAAUUCACUAAAACUUUUACAAACGGUCUCACCAGAUUGUAAGAAAAAGCACUACCCUACCCUACCCUAUCCGGAUUCUGAUUCCAAGAAUCAUAAAACCCCAAAACUCAGCAGCCAAAUUAAUUCAUUAGCAUCAAUCAAAUCAGAUUUAACCCUAAUCAGGUAAGAACAAACUAAAACAAAAGCAACCCACAAAAAUUCAUUCAAAUGCAACUUCAAGAAUCUACACCAGUAAUUCUAGACAAUUUUUCAAAGGAAAAGGGAGGGGAAAAAAACUAAUAAGAGACCAUCAUACCUCUGGAAAUACUUAUGGAGUCUUCACCCUUGUUGGAAAUGCUAUUGUAGGAACGAGAAUGAGAUUGUGCUUAGGCCGUCAAACAAGCUACUGAGGCUGCAUAAGCAAACGCAUCCACAAUGGCGGGCACAGCUCACAAACAAAAAGCAGACUGAAGAGAGAGAGAGGGGGAGAUGGUUUAACGGCCGCAAUGGCUAAGUCUAGUUCCGAUGACCAGAGAAAUGGACGAAGAAACUCACACUCACACAAACGCAAUCCCACAUGACUUGAGCCGUUGAUAUUGGCAGCUUUAAAGGAAAAAAAUGAGAGAGAGAGAGAGAGAGAGAGAGAUGAUCUGUUACCUCCGAAAUUGGGUCUUUGCCGAGUUGGAGAUGCCGCUGCUGAAGAAGGGAUUUGUUCGCUGAUGAGAUGUCGCCGGAGCUUUUAUCGACGUAUCACUGGAGGCUUUUAUUUGCCGGAGCUGAGGAGAUGUCGCUGCGAAGAAGAAGACGGCCUUUUUUAGAAUGGAAAAUAAGUGAAGUUAUUUCCUUCCGUGGUUGUAACUUAUUUUCUGUCAGAAAUUAUUUUUUUCAAAUUAAUUGGCAACCAACAACAAAAUAUGGAAAAUAUUUUCUUGGAAAAGAUUUUUCUUCCAAACAAACAGACCCUGAAAACAUUUUCCAAGGGAAAAUAUUUUACACCCAACCAAACAGACCCCUUUCAAUUUUAUCAAAAAAUUGAAAAUUGCGGUUCAGACGGUUCGAUUUGGAUUUAACAGUUUGUACAGUUUUUACGGGUUUGACCGAUUUUUGGACAAGUCAACACAAGUUAUGAACCGGAUCGGACACAUGCCGGUUCGCGGUUCGAUCGGUUGAACUGGCCGGUUCGGUUCGGAUUUCAAAACAUUGCUACAGGUUGGUGAGUUUGAUAAUUUCUGGCGGGUAAUGUUAAUCGAUUAAUUGAGUACUGCAGCUACAGUAGAAAUUGUUUUCUCGUGCAUCAAAGCGAGUAAACGUGUAUUUCUCUACCGAGUGAAGAAACUUAAAAUGCUCAUGCUCCGUUUGUCAAAUAAAUUUUUUAGAUGUUUAUAUAAAAUUUUCUGUAACUUAUUAUAGAAAUUGUAGAUAAAUUUUUUAAAAUAUGUAAAUAUUUAGAUGUUUUGAAAUGUAUAGUUUAAAAAUUUUGAGAAGUUUUUUGAGAUUAUUGUAAUUAAAGUUGUUAAAAAAUUUAUAGCAGACAAACUCAAUCAAAAACUUAUUUGCCAAAUAGGCCCUUUGUCUGGUUCUUGAAUUCUUAAAAUCUGUUUGGAUUGUUUUUUUUUUUAAAAGGAGUUUUUGUAGAAAGAUGUGCUGUUGAAAAGUGUGCUCAUAAACAUGUAAUAAUUUUUAAAAUUUUUUCUCUUUUCUUUUGGUCGUGACCUUAAAAGAGUCGACACUAUUUUCUCAUCACAGUUUUAUUCCAACUAUGAUUAUAUUUCCCACUAAAAUUAACAACUCAUUUAGAUAACUCUUUCUUUGAUCCCUUCAAAGAAUGGGGUGUAACUCGAGAAUUUUUCAAAGAAUCACCAAUUCAAAAAAAUAAAAAAAUUAACUUCAAUUCAAAUAUUUUAAUAAAAUCCUGGUAUAUUAGUGCUGGUAUGAUCACAUGUAGAUAAUUCGUUCUCAAAAACUUGUUAUUCUCAUCUAAUUUUCAACCGGCUAAUUUUUGGAUACAUCUAUGACGCAUCUAGGGAAGGCAACAUAGUCCAGUCCAAAGUGUAAUGAUUAAAAAUGGGAUUGACACUCUAUUAGCCUUUAGGAACUUUUAUUUUUUAUUUUUUUCUUUUUUGGGUAAGAAUUAAUUAGAGCUUGGAACUAAUAAUGCUGUUAGGUUGCAUCUCUAUACCAUAUUAUGCUCUUAUAUUAAUACCAACAAAUUUUAUCUAGGCUCAAAUCAACCAUACAGCAAGUGGAGCAGUUAGUGUUUGAUCAAUAAAAAUGCUCCACAUUACUGGUAUUAGUCAUAUAUAUAUAUAUAUUAAAACAUUAGUUAAAUAUGUUAUUCUACUCUCUUACGAAACAUUCGAUCAUGCUUGUUUGAUUAGGAUGCUAACAGCUAUGCUAGAAGAUUCACAUUAAUUAUCUUUAGUUUGUUACACGAUGGACUUUAUGUCAAAAAUCAGAGCUUUAUACAUUUGGUGACUAUAAUCUUCUGGAGGAGUCACCCGAAGGAGUGAAUUUUGAGGAAGAACAAGUAAUUUUGUGUGUGAUUGGCAAUACAUAAUCAGAAUACAUACAGCGUUGACUCGCGAGAGUGCUGAUGGGAUGGGAUCCGAUUUUGUUUUCUGCUGACAUCUUAAAAAGAUAAGAUAAAAGUAACUACAAAAGCCGAAAUAGUUAUUCUAAUUGUACAUUUGAGAACAUCAUCACUUUCGAUGAAUGAUGAGCCAACACUCAUCAUUCAUCAGAAAUUCGAGUCAAUCUUUAUAGUUUGCUUCCCUUUCUUGGCCGGUUCUUACAGAGGUAAAAGAUCAUUUGAGAAGAUACAGAAUGUUGGAUAGUUGAAACUUGAAUCCCAAGACUUUGACUAAAUAAUACACUUUACAAAAUAUCAUCAUUACAUUCAUGGAAGUAUAUACUAUAUAGCUAGCAGUCUAGCACUUUGCUCAUACCAGUAGAGUCCAUGAUGGCCACUGAAUUCAAUAGAUUUGCUUUCUUGAUUCCCUACUUCCAGGUUCUUUGCUUGGCCAAUGCAGUUUCUUUUCAGAUAACUCGGUUUACUCCUGAUUUAAGCGUCAUACUCUAUGGAGGAGAUGCAAUAGCUUCAGUUGGAGAAAUUGAAUUCAACAAUGUUGAUUAUCUUUAUCAGGUUGGUCAAUCUAUCUAUUUAGAGCCUGUUCCUAUCUGGGAUUCACACUGAGGGAAAGUAGCUGACUUCACUACUCAUUUCUCCUUCCAUCAUUGACACUCAAAAUCGUACCCCUUAUGGCCAGGGGCUUGCUUUCUUUCUUGCUCCUGUUGAUUUUCAAAUCCCACCAAACUCGGGCUGUGGAUUUCUAGGAUUGUUUAAUACCAGCACAAGUGAUUCCUCCGACAACCAGAUAGUUUCGGUUGAAUUUGAUUCGUUUGCAAAUCCAGAAUGGGAUCCUCCUUUUGAACAUGUUAGUAUCAACAAUAAUUCAAUUACUUCCUCUAUAACCACGUCCUAGAAUGCCAGCUUGCGCAGGGGAGACCCUGCUAAUGCUUGGAUUAUCUACAAUUUUUCUACGGAAAAUCUGAGUGUUUUCUGGAGUUAUGGAUCAAGUCCUGACUCUAGUAUUUCUUAUCAGAUAAAUUUGAAGGAGAUUCUUCCUCAAUGGGCUGCAGUUGGAUUUUUAGCUGCCACAGGUCCGUAUGUUGAAAGACAUAUACUUGAAUCAUGGGAGUUUAGCUCGAACCUCGAUAUAGCAAAGACACGUGGGAGUAAAGCAAAGAAAAUUGGAUUAGUUGCAGACUUAACAGCAGCUGGAGCAAUCUUGAUUGUGGGUGGAUUAAUAGUAAUUGAAGCUUUAAGGAGAAACAAACAAUCUGCUAUGGCCAAUUUGGAAAUGGCUGCCAACUCGACAACUUCUACCAAUGAUGAUUUAGAAAGGGGGGCCAGGAGCAAAAAAGUUUUCUUACGAAGAUCUUGCUUCAGCUACUAAUAAUUUCUCCAACGAGAGAAAGUUGGGUGAGGGAGGAUUUGGAAAGGUUUACAAAGGUCAACUAGUUGAUUUGAAUAUUGCAGUGGCUGUGAAGAAGUUCUCAAGGAGUUCUAAGCAGGGGAAAAAGCAAUACGUAACUGAAGUGAAGAUCAUAAGUAGUUUGAGGCAUCGAAAUCUUAUCCAGCUUAUCGGCUGGUGCCAUGAUAGUGAAGAUCAUAAGUAGUUUGAGGCAUCGAAAUCUUGUCCAGCUUAUCGCUGGUGCCAUGAUGAAGGUGAGUUCUUGCUUGUCUAUGAAUUCUUGUCAAAUGGAAGCCUAGAUACUCAUCUAUUUGGCAGGAACAAUGUUCUUGGUUGGAGUCAGAGAUACAAAAUAGCACUCGGGUUGGCAUCUGCUUUGUUGUAUCUUCAUGAAGAGUGGGGACAAUAUGUGAUACACAGGGACAUCAAAUCAAGCAAUGUAAUGCUAGAUUCAAGUUGUAGUGCCAAACUUGGAGAUUUUGGCUUGGCUAGACUUAUGGACCAUGAACUAGGACCACGAUCGACAGGUUUGGCCGGAACAUUUGGCUACUUAGCCCCUGAGCUUGUAAGCACUGGCAGGCCUAGCAAGGAGUCCGAUGUAUAUAGCUUUGGGGUGGUCGCUUUAGAAAUUGGUAGUGGAAGGAAGUCUUCAACCGAUCCAAUGUCGACUCACGAAAAAUCUGAAACAGGACUCCUGGAAUGGGUUUGGGACUUGUAUGGAUCGGGGAAAGUUUCAUCAGCUGUGGAUAGGAGGUUAAACAAUGAUUUUGAUCUCAAACAAGUCGAGUGUUUGUUGAUAUCAGGCCUGUGGUGUGCUCAUCCGAACAGCAGUCUUAGGCGCCAUCCAUAAAACAAACAAUUCAAGUCCUCAAUUUUGAGGCAACACUUCUUAAGCUUCCAACCAAAAUGCUAUUGUUAACACUUCCUAAGCUAUUGUUAGAUUCACAAUCAGACACUGUAGUUACUACAAUUUGACAUAUCAUUGUCCUCGAAUAUAUUUACAUGGACAGACUUUGUUGACGGGAAUAUUCGAAAACUGGUCCUUAUUACUUUACAAAGUUUUUGAAAAAAAAUUUUUUUUUUUAAGUAUCACCACGUUAACAUAGAUUUGGGUAUGCGACAGAGUUAAGAGUUUCAUCAAAUUGAAGGGUGGAGCAUUUAAAUUGUACAUUAUACACAUAUUCAAAAACAACACUAAACAGUGGAUUUUUUGGAGUCGAGGAGGAAUUAUUGCAAAUAGAUCGGUGGGAUCUGCAAAAAAAGUAUUGAUCGAGUGGUGAGUGGCUAAUUCUUUCCGUAGGGCAAAAAUAAGAGGGAUGCUUAAAAUCAGCUGGCGUGUGGUCUGAAAUCAAAGCUUUGAGACUUGUUAAACCAUGGCUUGACGUGAAGCUAUCUAUGACAUGGCUCCUGUCAUGUGUGGAUGCUUCUCCUUCCUGCAAAGUAUACAAAAACUUCCUCGCUCCUUGCUGCCGUAUGCGGAUGGGGGCCUCAUAAAUUCCAUUUCAAAAGAUGAUCCAAGGACAAACUUGUGGGAAAUGGAACUUGUGAAGCCCAUCCACCGAGUGAAGGGAAACUUGUCUGUGCUUGAAAAAUGUUUCUCUUUGUUUGUAACUUCAAUACUUGAUAGUUUGGGAAUUGAGAUUCAAAGAGCAAAGACGAAAAAACAAUACAGAUAGCCCGUAUGCAAACCUGAUUCCUGGAGAUAUUUUCUGUAGGCUCGUUCAUUCAUUUUUUAAAGCAUGUAAAUAUUUAGAUAUUUUGAAAUGUAUAGUUUAAAAAUUUUGUGAAAUUUUUUAAGAUUACUGUAGUUAAAAUUGUUAAAAAAUUUAUAGCAGACAAACUCGAUCAAAAACUUGUUUACCAAACAGACCCUUUGUCUGGUUCUUGAAUUCUUAAAAUCCGUUUGGAUUGUUCUUUUUUUUUUUUUUUUGAGUUUUUGUAGAAAAAUGUGCUGUUGAAAAGUAUGCUCAUAAACAUGUAAUAAUUUUUAAAAUUUUUUCUCUUUUCUUUUGUUUGUGACCUUAAAAGAGUCGAUGCUAUUUUCUCAUCACAGUUUCAUUCCAACUAUGAUUAUAUUUUCAACUAAAAUUAACAACUCAUUUAGAUAACUCUUUCUUUGAUCCCUUCAAAGAAUGGGGUGUAACUCGAGAAUUUUCCAAAGAAUCACCAAUUCCAAAAAAAAAAGAAUUAACUUCAAUUCAAAUACUUUAAUAAAAUCUUGGUAUAUUUGUGCUGGUAUGAUCACAUGUAGAUAAUUCGUUCUCAAAAACCUGUUUGCUCAUCUAAUUUUCAACCGAUUAAUUUUUGGAUACAUCCAUGACGCAUCUAGGGAAGGCAACAUAGUCCAGUCCAAAGUGUAAUGAUUAAAAAUGGGAUUGACACUAUUAGCCUUUAGAAAUUUUUAUUUUUUAUUUUUUUCUUUUUUGGGUGAGAAUUAAUUAGAGCUUGGAACUAAUAAUGCCGUUAGGUUGCAUCUCUAUACCAUAUUAUGUUCUUAUGUUAAUACCAACAAAUUUUGUCUAGGCUCAAAGCAACCACAUAGCAAGUGGAGCAGUUAGUGUUUGAUCAAUAAAAAUACUCCACGUUACUCGUAUUAGUCAUAUAUAUGAGUGUCAAUACAUAAGCAGAAUACAUGCAGCGCACUUGGGAUUCUCGGUGACAUGUUUUCUAUGCCAACCCAAUGUCACUAAUAGUAUUGCGCCAAGUGUCAUGUUAUUAUUUACACUUGUGUUAAACCAAACCAAGUUGAAUUAUUAGAAAAUUAAAAUGUAAAUAAUAACAAGACACUCGUUGACUCUCGAGAGUGCUGAUGGGAUCUGAUUUUGUUUUCUGCUGACAUCCCAAAAAGAUAAGAUAAAAGUAAAUAAAAAAGCCGAAAUAGUUAUUCUAAUUGUACAUUUGAGAACAUCAUCACUUGACUUCUCUAGAAAUUCGAGUCAAUCUUUAUAGUUUGCUUCUCUUUCUUGGCCGGUUCUUACAGAGGUAAAAAGAUCAUCCGAGAAAAUACAGAAUGUUGGAUAGUUGAAACUUGAAUCCCAAGACUUUGACCAAAUAAUACACUUUAUAUAAUAUUAUCAUUACAUUCAUGGAAGUAUAUACUAUGUAGCUAGCAGUCUAGCACUUUGCUCAUACAGUAGAGUCCAUCAUGGCCACUGAAUUCAAUAGAUUUGCUUUCUUGAUUCCCUACUUCCAGGUUCUUUGCUUGGCCAAUGCCGUUUCAUUUCAGAUAACUCGGUUUACUCCUGAUUUAAGCGCCAUACUCUAUCGAGGAGAUGCAAUAGCUUCAGUUGGAGAAAUUGAAUUCAACAAUGUUGAUUAUCUUUAUCAGGUUGGUCAAUCUAUCUAUUCAGAGCCUGUUCCUAUCUGGGAUUCGCACUCAGGGAAAGUAGCUGACUUCACUACUCAUUUCUCCUUCAUCAUUGACACUCAAAAUCGUACCCCUUAUGGCUAGGGGCUUGCUUUCUUUCUUGCUCCUGUUGGUUUUCAAAUCCCACCAAACUCGGGCGGUGGAUUUCUAGGAUUGUUUAAUACCAGCACAAUUGAUUCCUCCGACAACCCAAUAGUUUUGAUUGAAUUUGAUUCGUAUGCAAAUCCAGAAUGGGAUCCUCCUUUUGAACAUGUUGGUAUCAACAAUAAUUCAAUUACUUCCUCUAUAACCACGUCCUGGAAUGCCAGCUUGCGCAGGGAAGACCCUGCUGAUGCUUGGAUUAUCUACAAUUCUUCUACGAAAAAUCUGAGUGUUUUCUGGAGUUAUGGAUCAAGUCCUAACUCUAGUAUUUCUUAUCAGAUAAAUUUGAAGGAGAUUCUUCCUCAAUGGGCUGCAGUUGGAUUUUCAGCUGCCACAUGUCCGUAUGUUGAAAGACACACACUUGAAUCAUGGGAGUUUAGCUCGAACCUCGAUAUAGCAAAGACGCGUGGGAGUAAAGCAAAGAAAAUUGGAUUAGUUGCAGACUUAACAGCAGCUGGAGCAAUCUUGAUUGUGGGUAGAUUAAUAGUAAUUGAAGCUUUAAGGAGAAACAAACAAUCUGCUACGGCCAAUUUGGAAAUGGCUGCCAACUCGACAACUUCUACCAACGAUGAUUUAGAAAAGGGGGCAGGACUUUUCUGGGUGGAAAGUCAGUACUGAAUCUAUGAUACGGCUGCUUGAAGAUCCUGAGAAACAGUAUCAGCUGUAUUUGGAGAAAGAGAGGGAAAAGGAUCAAAGUGAUGAUGAAGAACGUCCCAGUGAUGAGGAGGGUGAGGUGGAAGGAGGACUAUUUGAAAAUACUAAUAUAAGUGACAGCCAGGGCAAAGUGGACGAGAUUGACAGUCAAGGCUCAAAAAAAGAAUAAGCCUAUGAUCUGUUAAGAAAGUUAUUGUUCAAACUUUAAAGGAGAACAAGAAGAAAAAAUCAAAGGACAAAGCAGCUUCUAAGAAAUCGAAGCACAACAUGGAGGAGAAAAAUAUUGCUGGUAGCAAGACAAACAAAAGAGAGCCAGACAAUAAGUCGGUUACUCUUCCGUCAUUUGAUGAGUUUUUUAUCAAGGAAUUUAAAUUGAUUGGGACUCAGCUAAUAUUUUGUAUAACAAGCUUGUACACCCACAUGCCUACAUCUUUCAUUCCAGUGGAGGUAGCAAAGAAUAUGAAAAGGGUUUCUGGCAUGCUACAAGCUCUUGGAUCUUUGAUACAUAAGGUCACUUCUGCUAAUGAAGGGCUAAGAGAAGUCAUCUAUGGAAUUGAAACUGCAGAAAGAAGGAAAAGACGCUUCAUUGAAUUGCGAAGGCCUAGAAUGGGAUGCCUGCAAAACCUGAAACAUCUUCAAGAAAAAAUCUCUCUUCCAAGCUUCUCUGAAGAUUAUCAAAUUAGAAGCUUCUGUUUACAGACAUCUUUCUUGGUCUUUUGUACUGCUUCAACCUCAGCUAAGUUGCAUGUGGAAGGAAUAGCACCGCUGGAAUUAUUGGUCAUUGAUGAAGCUGCACAGUUGAAGGAAUGCGAGUCCGCUAUACCCCUUCAGAUACCUGGUAUCCGCCAUGCUAUACUUAUUGGAGAUGAGAAACAACUACCAGCAAUGGUUCAAAGCCAGGUUGUCGAAUUGAACAUGUUUUACUCGUCUAUUUUUAGAAAUUUAAUGUGUUUCUGUUUCUGACUCUUCUGGUAUGUCGUAAGCAGAUAUGUGAGAAGGCCAACUUUGGAAGAAGCUUAUUUGAAAGGCUAGUGAUGUUAGGACAUCAAAAGCACCUUCUCAAUGUCCAGUACAGGAUGCAUCCAUCGAUCAGCUUAUUUCCAAAUAGGGAGUUCUAUGCAAAGCUAAUAAUGGAUGGUCCCAAUGUGAAGGAUGGAAAAUACAAGAAGCACUUCCUGGAAGGGUCCAUUUUUGGAUCAUACUCAUUCAUUGACAUCAACCCUGGUAAAGAGCAGUUUGAUGACAAGCAUAGUAGGAAAAAUCUCGUGGAGGUUUAUGUAGUUGCCGAGAUCAUUGCUAACCUUCAUAAAAGUAUGCUUCCCUGCAAACUCUAGAGUAUCAUAUUUUUUUUUCUCCUUUUUCUUUGGACUUGUAUGCAGCUAAGCUGAUAUCUCAUCGUCCCUUUCUCAAUAGGGUCUCUCAUUUCAAAGCAGAAGCUCCGUGUUGGCUGCAUAUCACCCUACAAAGCUCAAGUUUCUGCAAUUCAGGAAAAACUUGGCCAGAAAUAUAGUACGGACACAGGCAGUGACUUCUCUGUUAAUGUUCGUUCUGUCGAUGGAUUUCAAGGAGGGGAAGAAGAUGUAAUAAUUAUUUCAACAGUGCGGUGUAAUGGGGGUGGAUCAGUUGGCUUCCUUUCCAACCAUCAAAGGACUAAUGUGGCUCUCACUCGAGCGAGGUAUGAAUUUAAUGUAAGAGAAACUUGAACAUAAAUGAAUUUUAUAGGUCCUCUCUAUUUUAUGCGUGCAAGAUGAUGCACAAGCACGUUGUUUGUAAAAGCACUUAUGGCUUGAUUUACAGGCACUGCCUUUGGAUACUGGGAAAUAGUGCAACCCUCGUGAAUAGUCACUCCAUUUGGAAGAAACUAGUAUUGGACACAAAGGCUCGGGGUUGUUUCCAUAAUGCUAGAGAUAGCAAGAUCUUGGUUCAAGCAAUUUCUUCUGCCUUAAUUGAGUUAGGCCAAUUUGAUAACCUACUCAGUACCGACUCAGUGCUGUUCAAAACAGCGAGGUGGAAAGUAUGUCUCAGUUGUCAUACUAAAGUAAUAACUUGGUGGGCUAGUUUGUUGCUGUUUUUGGUAGUUUUUAUUUAAUGCUCGCUAUAAUUUCCUUUUACAAGUGGUGUUGCUGACUGAUUCAACUAUCCUUGGGUUUAUACAAUAGGUUUGCUUCAGCGAUGAUUUUUCAAAAUCACUUGCAAGAAUUCGGGAUCCUGAGAUCUGCAAGGAAGUUCUUUCUCUUCUAGUGAAGCUUCCGAGCGGCUGGCGCCAGCCUCCAAGUGACACUAGUAGAAUUGAGUAGGUUAUCUACCACAGGAAAAAUCUCACAUCAUGGCGAGGUUCCAGUACAAGGGCACCGUACCGAAACACAUCACAUCCCAAUAUUUUUCCGCUACACCUUCUCUACUUUGAUUAUUGAUACGUUAUCUUGGUCAAGAUUAAUGGUACUUCUUCCCUGUUGUUGGAGAUGUAUGAUGUGAAGGGUCUGAAACUGAUGUGGACAGUCGGCAUCCAGAAGUUCAUUUCAAUUGACAUGCAAGUUAUAAAAGUUUGGGAUAUUUUGGCAGACUCGGAGAUACCAAACUUGGCAAAGCAACUUGACAAGAUAUUUGGAAGCUACACACUGAACACUGUGAAUCGUUGCAAAGUCAAACGGAUGGAAGGGUAACCUUACAAUCUAUAAUCUUGUCAUAGUUAAUGUUUUGCAUUAGUACAUUCUGUUCGAAUGGCAUUCUUUCGGCCUCUCAAUUUCUAUCGUAGAGGAGCAGCUGAUUCUGGCAUAAAGUCACAAACUGGUUUCUCUAUCUUUUUAACUUUUCCUCUCACACCCAUUUUUUCGGUCACUAAUCUCUGUUUGCAUCGCCAUUCUCAGUAUUAAGUGCGUACUCUGGAUCACCAUCUUGUAGAAACUUUAAUAGGUUGUCUAGCCAAAGUUAAGAAGAGCUGAAUACAAAGGCUUCAUUUGCUGCAGGAAUUUAGUAGUUCCAGCUACGUGGCCAUCGGAAUCAAAAUCUGUUACUGGUGAUGAUCCAAGUGAACACUUGGCAAGUAAACUUGCCCGAAUCAGUCUAAGGGAUGAGCCAAGACCAUCUACAAGGAGUUACAGGUGAGUAUCUAAUUCUUGAAAUUGUCACUUCACAUUAUGAUUGAACACAAACCACACCACAUUAUGAUUUUCUCUACCGCCUUUUCCUCCCCGAAUAUUGAUUUAUGUGUUGUUUACCAGCAGUGCGCUAACUCACGGGAAGCACCACAAGAAGUGGAAGAAGUCACAGAAGUGAAAAUUGGAGUGAGACAAGAUCACUGAAGAUUCUUCUUGCGUAGUCUAUGCAAAAGUUGAAAUCAAUGAUUUAUGGGUAGGAAUUUUAUCAGUAUGUAUUGAUGAGUUAGGAAGGUACCAUAUUUGCAGUAGAUUAAAUUUACCUGAAACCAUGUGUAAGAAAUUCAGGGAAACUUGACUUGGCUGGGGAAAUUUUUACGAGAACAAGCUGUAAAUUAAAGGAUGGUGCUGUCCUCUUGAAACUCCAGAAUGUUAUUGGGUGUCUUCGGUUUCACUUCUGUAAGCAGUGCUGAACCCUCAUUAUGCUUGUCAUGGUAUAUAUGUGUGUGUGUAUAUAUAUAUAUAUUUACGAAAAAAAACUUACAUUAUACUACUAUGUUAUAACGUUUGCUGUUUUUUCUAAGAUUAUAUGUUGCAUUUCUGUAAGCAGUGCUGAGCCCUCAUUAUAUACUUUAUUUUGCUUCAUCUUAAAAUGCUUGUCAUGGUUCAUAAAUGAAAAUAAAUAAAUCCCAAAUUUCAUAUUUGUACCCUUGACACAAUAUUCAGUUAAAAAAAAAAUUUCAAGUUCUGUUUCUCCAAUAACUAAUGUUACAAACCAUUUUUGUAUUUUAGUUCUUUACCUUUUUCAAAACUCUGAAUUCAAUUAAACCAUCUUUCAAUUUUGGCUCUUUUAAAAUUCUAAAAUACUAGAAGAGAGCUUAUAUGUACAAAUAUACAUACUCCUCUCUCUAGCUUUCUAAUCUCCUCGAGCCUACUUGCUUGUUUAAUAAAAGGGCCGCGGGGGGAACUCAAUAUUUUUAACCUUCAACGAUUUGAAAGAUCAGGGGAAGAAGAUCAUACAACUCGAAAGUUUAUCAAUCGCACAACAAAUUAAUCUACAAAGACCUCCGACCAAUCUAAUGUCAAGUUCUGCAAAUCCAUCCAGAAGGAGAGAGAAUAUUCCCACUUCGGAGAUUAGAAUGAAUUCCACGAAAUGAAUAUCCCCGUUUUUCUCAUCCACGAAAUGAAUGAAUUCCAAGAAAUGAUCUGCACCUACAGAGAUUACUUCGGUCAAGGAUGCUAACAUUGAGGCUUACCACCUGCAAAGAAAAGAAUCUACUAUUGCCAGCAUGCACCAUUUUCUGCUACCUCAUUCUAUUCUACCAUGGAAGAAUUAUUCAUCAGGAAGAAUUCUGUUUCAUUUGCUGCAGGCCCUUGGAAUCAAAUCCUGUUAUUGAUGAUCCAAGAACGUCUAAGAGGGGUUUUAGUUGAGUAUCUACCACAGGAAAAAUCUCACAUCAUGGCGAGGUUCCAGUACAAGGGCGCCGUACCGAAACACAUCACAUCCCAGUAUUUUUCCGCUACACCUUCUCUACUUUGAUUAUUGAUACGUUAUCUUGGUCAAAACUUGGUAGAAUCGACUUUCAAAAAUCUAGUGAAUCAGAUUGUGCAACACCAUUUAGUGAGAUGUGUGCUAUAAUCUAGACCAUUGUAUUUCUGACAAUUAGAUCUAUUUCAAGUGUGAGCCAAAGCACAAAAGUUAUCGCUCCUUAACUUAGUAGCAGCAUACUAGCAUCUAUAUGCUAUAUGAUAAAAGCAGAUAAUUAUUCAAAAUCCCAGCAUUUUCAGCUUAGUGACAUCAGGAGUCUUAACCCUCAGACGACCAUGCACUUUUCUCUACGACAAAGGAAAUCCUUCAGAAUUUGUUACAUCUCUGUAUUCAGAACAAAUGAGGAGUGUUUGGAUAGGAAAAAUAUCUUAAAUAAUAUUUCGCUUGCAUCAUAAACACAUUUUUUAACCUAUCUUUUUAUAUUUCCAAUCACUUUUUUAUCUCACAUACAUCACAUCACAAAAAGUAUUACAGUAAUUAUUCUAAAUAAUAUUUCAGAUAAUACUCUAUCCAAAGUUGGUCUUUGUUAAUGGGAUUGAUGAACUCAAAAGAUUUCAGCCUAAUGAAUAAAUUGUAUUCAUAAUAUUAUAACUGUUUAGCCCUUAAAAAGGUGGCCUUUACUGAAAAAAAAAAGAAAAAACAAUGUGACCUUUAUUUAGUUCUUUGAGCCCCAAUGGGUUAAUCUUAACUUAAUUAACUUAUAAUUAAUUUACUUAUUAUCUGGUUGAGUGGAUGUGCUGUCUAAACCAUGACUCUUAGAUUAGGCUUAACGGACAAAUAAUAGAUUUCAACCUUUAGAUAAAUUUCAAUUAAACUCUAAUUACAAUUUCGCUAUUGUUACCUACAAAACAUUUCUUGCACAUUGCUACUCUUGCCAUUGCACAUCGUUUUUUUUCCUUUUGCCUUUUAUUCACGCCAAGUCAAAUAAAUCUAGCCCUUAUGUUUAUGGGUGUUCAUUGGCCAAUAAUCGGGGAUUCGAAUUAUGAACCGAUUAUAUGUUUUUCCAAUAAAAUUCAAUCAACUCAAACAAAUAUGAUAUGAAAAAAAACAAGGUUCAUAAUUCUAAGUCCUAACUCAUAAUUUCAACUCUUAAACAACAUUGAAAUAUAUAAGAACUUCAAAUUUAAUUAUUAAGCAAAACUUCAAUGUAUCAACUUCCAUUAAAAUUUUACGUCCAAUUACAGUUAUAGUUAAGUUAACUAAUUAGUAUUUAGUGAUAGGAUUAAGAUUUACUCUAAUAUUUAGUAGGAUACAUAAGUGGGCAUGUAUUCUACUUUGACUCCUUAUUGAUUUUAUGUGAAAGAAUGGUUUAUUGAAUUGUUCUUGAAAUUCUAAGUGGGCAUGAAUAACUUAAGACUGAAUUCUGCUAGUCUAACUAUUAUAUAAAAACUUAAAACUACAUUCACCAAGAAGUAUCACGUGAAUAACUUAAACUAAUUUGGCAUUCUUUGAUUGGUUUGUUGUUUGGGAUAAUUUCAAAAACCUCCCAUGAGGUUUUUAACAAUUUUAUUUAGCUCAUUUAAGAUUUUAAAAAUUAUACAUGCCCCUCUUGUCAUUUAAAAUAACAAUACUAUCCUUAAAUAUUUUAAUGAAAAUUUCCUGUUUGGUAUGUUAAUAUUUAGAAUAACUUUUAAAAUUAUUUUUUAUUCUUUUAUUCUUUUUAUUCCUUUUUUAAUUUUUUUUCAAUAAAACUGUAGAACUACCACUAUCACUUCUAGAUUUUAUUGUAACCAAAUAUCAAACUAAAGAUUUUGUUUUUUGAUGAAUUAACUUUAUAUGCAAUCCAAUGUUUUUGCUGAUAUUUGUUUUCCAUUUUUUGAUAUUAAAAUUAACAAUAAAUCAAAAGGAAAUGACCCAAAAUCACUACUAAAUUAUAAUAAUCUCAUUACUUGAAAAAUUUAUAAAGUCUAAAUGAAUUAUUUCAACAUUUUCUUUUCUAUCUUAUAAAUUUAAAUUUAUAAUAAAAUACCAUCAAAAUAUUCUAUCAUAGUGAUAAAAUUAUUAUUAUAGUUAUUUAUCAAAUAGUAAGUAUGUAUAUGAAAAAUUUGGCACAUUUUCUUAUAAUUAUACUAGAUAAUCUUAUAAUUGUAUGGGAAAGUAAAUUAAAACUCAUUAAACAAGAGCAUUUUUGGGUAUUUAUUUAAAAAUUUGACCAAGUCAAUAUUAUUUUAAGGUUUUGUUACUAAAAUUAUCAAAUCAAAGGAGGUAGUGUAAUUUUUCAAAUUUCAGGAGAGUUCAGUGAAAUUGUAGAAACCUCAAGGAAGGUUUUUGAAAUUAUCCACUAUUGUUUUAACACUAACUUCACUAACAAUUGUCAUCUGCAAUUGACUGCUUGGUGGGACAUGUGUCUUUGGUAUAUGUUUAACCAUGGAGGGUUGUUUUAGUAAUAUGAGUGCUUGGUUCAAAUUAGUGAUGCAUGUGGUACAAAUACAUACAGCUUUUGGUAAUUUCCUGUUAACACAUUUAACCCUUACAUUAAUUUACCAUUCAAUUAAAAGAGUUGAGUUUGUGAGUAUUGAAAUCAAGAUUGAAUUAUGCUCUGGUAAUGGCUAUCUCAUUCUUACAAUAUUGGUGAAAGGUUUAAUUGUCAGCAUUCUUCCGUUUGGGUCUUCUUGAUUUUUUCGAUUUUAAAUUCUGUUGGUGUUUUUUAGUCUUUCGUAUGUAUUAGAAGGCUAUGUAAAUGACUCAUUGCAAUGUACUUCUUGCAAGCAUACUGUCUGGUUUCAAUUUAGGCUGGUUCCAUCUUUAAUUUUGCUUUCAAAGAUCACAAGGAAUUUGAUGAUUUUGAUUAAAUGUUAGCUAUUAGGAAUUCAAUAGUUUGUCGUUUCUUGUUAAUGCAUUUUUAGUUUAAUUCCUUAUAGCCAAAAUCUAAACCUUUUCUUUCAUGGGAUAUUUGUGGAAAUAGUUGUAGAACUUCUUAGAGCAGAGAUUCAUCAGGAAAUUUGCUGAGACAGGUAUGUCCGAUAGCUUUGCCUUUUAAUUUUCCACUUUUCACUUUUAUAGAUGUUUAAUUGUAUUGGAUUUUAGUUUUGGUUAUAAUAAUGUUGUUGUUUAUUGUUUACUCUCUCCAAGAGUUUUUUCCCCUCUGCCGUGUUGUCUACUGUAUCGGAUUUCAGUUUUGCCACCAAUAAUGUUGUUAUUCUUUGUGGAUUUGCUAUAAGAGUUUUUCCCUUCUGACAUGUGCUUGUGGCUAAGUAUAGUGCAGUAGUUAAGUAUACUUUAUCUCUUGAUUAUCUUUUUUUUCCCUCUUGUUGCACUUUUGCUAUAAGAGAUGUUGGACUGGCCAACUGGUUUUGGUAUAUGUGAUUUUGCCAUAUCUGGAUUCGGUGUUUGUGAAAUAGCUUUGAUUAGAGAAUUCCAACCCGCUCAAUAUCUACUUAAGUAGUGGCAGGAGAUCUGAUGCCUUUAUAUAUUAAUCCACUUCCAUGUUAUUACAUAUAAAUUUGAUAAAUAGCUUAUGAUAUUUUUUUGUUAAUUAUCAUUCCUACGAUAAUAUAUUGGUCCACCUAAUGUGCCAUGCCAAUAUACUGUUAUCUUAGAUUUAAUCAAUUUUCUAACUUACAAAUCUCAAUGAUGUAAAAGAAUAUUUCCUGACAGCAAGACUGAAAUUUAUAAUUUCUAAUGAGUAAUUAAUUUUCAUGAAUAAUUACCAAUCAAUCUAUGCACUUAUUACUUUGAUCACGUGCACUUGAGGACAGGCAAUUGUUCCCCUUCAAAUAGUAUGAAAUUAUAGAAAAUACGUGCCGUAUAAUUUUGUAGUCAUUUUUGUGACGCCCCCACUUCUCCCUAAGGUGAACCAAAGAGUAUCCGCGGGACGCCUGCCCACCUCUCGCUAGGACUCGGUACAAUUUCCGUUCAAACUUAAUACAAUAAUAACUAAUAUGACAAGACAAAGUAAGAAAGUGUGGAUGCUUCCAUAUAUAAUAUCCGGUCUUAGACCACAAGUGCAAAAUACAUCAAUUUUCUAAAAUAUACAACUGUCAAAAAAUGCCUAGUCGAUUACAUUUGAAACCUUAAUACAAAAGUACAUCCCAAGGGUUUCUCCGAGUUUCACUCCACAUCCAUUCCUAUUAAGGAAAACAAAUAUAUAGGGUGAGCGAUUGCUCGUGAGGCCAAGAGCACACAUGCAAGCACGUUGUCCAAGUAACAAUCUCAUUGAACAAGUAAAACAAUAAUAUUCAAGUAAAUAACAAUUCGGGCGAGAAAAGUAAACAGAAACAAUUCAAGGAUACAAGAGCCAUCAGGGGUUAUUUUCCACUUGCACGAUCAUGAACCUCCACGAGUUGACACUCCGUCAAUCGGAUAGGUUAUAGUAUGUAGAACUUCACUUACUCAUUCCCUGUUCACCGUUACUCCCCUGCUCCGGGCCCGCACGUUCUUUUGUUAUAGGCGAUAUUGCUCGAGUAUGCCAAGCAAGAUCUCCCGAGUAGAUCGAGCUUAUACACGUUUCUCAUGGCUCACCAAACUUCUCGACCAAUCCCAUGCCGGCUCGAGUCGCAAGAUCGGCCGAUGAGAUUUGGGCGUCACCCACUAGUAUCACUAGGAGUCAAGAAGAUUCACUCCAAUCGACUUAUGCAACCAUAACAUAAUUAAUCACUGAAACACUUCACUUAAUUCACUUAACAAGUCACUUCAAGCAAUUCACUUCAAGUAAUUCAAGUACACUUCAUGUAAAUAUUCACUUCAAGUAAUUCAUGUACACUUCACUUAAAUGAGAAUGAGUGCGAUAAAGUACACACUCAGCUCAGCAUUUUUAAAAUUUUUAAUCACUAAUAACGAUUAAACACGUAAUAAGUUCACAUACACUUGACACUCACCAAAUAAUAUAAGGAGUAAAGCACAAUCAGAUGUCUGGACGUCUCCUGUGAGAUCCUCUUGAAGGUCUCCUUGAGUGCUUGAGCAAACAAUAAUUAACUAUUACUCACUAUCACUUAUAAAUCCUUUCUUAACAAGAGAGGGAUUGUACACUUGCACAAUUUAAGAAAAAUACCAUGAAAUGGAGCUUUACUUGCUCAAAAUUCAAGGUUCAAAAGUGGUGCUUAAUAACACAAGAAAAACUGAUUUCCUUCAUGAAAACAAGUCCAAAAUGGUCAAUUAGUAUUGAAGGAUAGGGAAGAGUCUCCAAAACUCAAUUCCCGUCAAGUUUGAAAAUUUCAGUUUUAAGGAGUAAUCUUUGAAAAAUCAUAUCUUACACUCUGUAGGUCCAAAAUUGAAAAACUUGGUACCAUUGGAAACUAGUUCUUAAGUACUAAAAUUUCUUAGAAGACACUUUUCUAUGAUUCUAAAUGGAAGACACUCAAAUUUCGGCUUAAAGUUGCUGAUUUGCACUUCCAAGACAGAUUCGGGGUUGGUUUUUGGCGAAAUUUGGAAAUUCGGAAAAAUUCAUAAAAUGUGAACUAGCCUCUCAAAUUUGAAACUCAAUUGUAGUUACAAUCAAGGUUUAAAACACAACAAACGGAACAAGAAUCGGAGUUUUGAGCGCCAAGAUAUAGCAGCUCAAAUUUGAUUCAAAAUGGGGACUAUUAGGCAAUUUUUCAGAUUUGAAACAUAAACUUUGGGAUUUUAAUUGGGUAUCGAAAUGAACUUGGAAUUACACUACCAUAUGAGGGCUACUCCUCUGUCAAAUUUCAUGCAAAAAUUCGUAUAGAAAGUCAGUUAACAAGACCACUAAAAUUUCAGGAAUUUCCAAGGCAAAUCUGCCUUAUGCUUCCAUUUUCUUUUUUUCAAACAUUUGGCCAAUGAAAUCAUCUCAAAUAUGGUUUAUUUAUGAAAAAAAAGGUCUAAUACACAUUUAGUAGGUGAUCAACACCAAAAGUUUCAAAAUAACAAGUCCCAAUUCGAGCUAAGCCAUUCGGCUAGCCAAAACUAGGGUUUUCUAUCACUGGCGCAAUUCUGUAAUUCGACCACAACUCACUCAAUUCAACUUGGAAUUGAGCAUGGUUGAUGGCGUUAGAAACUACAUUCAUAGGGCUACAAUUCAUUAGAAGAAAGUGUUUUGAAAUUCAGUUCAUAGCUAGCUCAAAUUCAGGCAACAAGUCCUAGCACUUCAUUGACUCUCUAGCAUAGCAGUAAAACAGGACAUGUAAAUUUGAAAAACUGGUACGGCUCACUCAGUUCGAAUCAAGGAAUACAUUUUAUACUGUUAGAAAACUGGAAGUAUCUAGUUUCAAAUUCCGCAAACAGCACUCGAUUUCGAUGUCGGAGCAAAAUGUUGUGGUCGUUUAAAGGUCGCUACCAGAGUACCUCUGUACACGUUUUCCAGGUUUGAACAUGUUUCGAAAAUGCAAAUUUUACCCAACCAAAUCAAGUGAUUUUUGGUGGAAACAUUUCACACAACAUAUACAACAUAUUUAAAUAAAAAUCAAGGUCAUUUGAUCACAAAAAAAAUCAAACCAAGGGUUCGGCAAGAAUAGAGCAGAUUCGGCCCUUUCUCAUGCAAGCUUUCCGUUGAUUUUCUUUCCACUUUUCAACUUAUAUCCACUAGUUUAGCACUUAAUCAACAUAAAUAACAUCCAAAAUCAUCAUAUCAGUCCAACAUGUCCAUUGUGGGAUUUGAUAGAGCCCACUCAAGUGAUUUUCAACCAACCAAAGUUACCCACAUGAAGCUACAAGCUUCCAAAUCCAAUCUAACUCACAAAAAUCAAGUUUAGAAGGUUAGAUGGUUACCACCUCUUGGUUGAUGAUAAAGCAGAAAUUUUCGGUCACUAGGUGCUCCAAAAAACCGGCUGGAUGAAGCUCCUCACCUAGCUAGAGUUGUUCAUCUAGUAUUAUGGAAGUUGUGUGCAAAAUUUGAGGUGAAAUGGUGCAAGAUUUGAGUGAGAUGAUGAAGGGUUUUGGUCUCCUUCUUGGCUUGAGGAUUUCGGCAGCUUUGAGAGGGUGAGAGAGAGUGAAAAUCUGACAGUGAAGCUUCUUGGAGAAGCUUGUGGUUGGUGGCCUUUUUGGCACAAAAGUCAACUCUCACUAGCGCGCGUACGCGCGCGUUUCAUGCCCGUUUCCUCUCGGAUUUGUUUUACUUGUACACUAAACUUCUAAUGCACUUCCUUUAUCACUAUUAUUAUUCACUCUUAAUAGUCUAAAAAUAAAUGUCCAAAGUCCCUCAAUUAGACACGCGCGCGAAAACGAGAACUUCCAACUUGUGCGCGGUAAAAUGCAAUUUCUAAGAAAUUCUUGUAACGAUAGUAUAACUAACUAAUACUUGGGUAAUUAAUCAUAAAAAUAACUAUUUUAGAAAUAAAAACAUAGCCCUCACACGAGUCUAGUAUUAAUUCCUCAAAUCACCAAUUAAUUUGUACCAGCGCGUCUUUCGAAAAAUUUUCGACGCGCGGGCGGUAUAAACUUAAUUAGGACUCAUUCACCUCUACUUCCUCAAUUAACUUUUCUAAAUCUACUAUUGAUCAUUCUUAAUUCUCCAAAAAUAUUACACUCUUGAUUCAAUUAUUGCCUCGAAGAACGUGAACUCGUUAUUCCUCACUUAAACGAACCUCCAAAAAAUUAAAUUUGCUAACGGAAUGUUUUAAAACAUAGGGGAGACAUCGUUCCAUACAAAUGGAUUUAAAAUGGUUGAAAUAAAUUAUUCGGAGAAAAUAGGUGAAUAAAUAUUUAAAUAAACCAGUAAUAUUCGAUAAAAUAAGAAAAUUUUCGGGUCCUCACAAUUUUCACUUUUACACGUUGUUGGUCCUCCUCAAUUUCUUAAAAACACUUAUUUGCUCCCUUCAUAUUGAUAAUUUUGUAAAGUUCUAUUACAUUAGACCCCUAGCAUUUACAAAAUUCACACAUAUAUAUAUAUAUAUAUAUAUAUAUAUAUAUAUCCUUCAAAUUUCUAAAAUGCUAUCCCAAUGUGAAAUACUACAUACUUCACUUUAUAAAAUAAAAAAAAAUCAUCUUUAUUAGUUUAAGCAUAAGGAUGAUGUUAAUUAUAACUCUAAAAUAACAAUUUUUAUAUAAGGGAUAUGCAAUUGGUAUAUAUGUUUUUUCUCGUUAUGUUCUUUACUUUACUCGGUUUGUUACUCAUCAUUGAACCGUGAUUUAUUCCUCGUCUAUUAGAAAUAUAACUAAAAGUUUAAGAACACAGCUCAUUGCAUAACCAAUUCCAAAACUGCAAAUGCAUCAUCCUUCGGUGGGCCAAUACGUAUAGCCAGUCCAUGCUAGUUUACCAAGACACAAAGAGAUUCCAGCUCUUCCCGUCAUUAGCUAGAAAACUGCUUAACGGCCAUUAAUUAAGGAAAACACUACUUAUUUGUUUUCUCAUAUUCAAUCCCAUUUAAUCGAAAAAAAUCUCUUUCAUGAGAAGGCUUGCAAACCACAAGGAAAUAGACAGGUGAAGGUGAAGUGGAUGAUUGGUCAAAAGGAUCAUUUAAUAUUGGCACGAAAAAUAUGCGCGCACACAAAAUGGAAGCAAUUUUAGCACACAUAAAAAUACGUAGGAAGAGGAGAAGAAAUAAACUCACAAUCAAACCUCAAUAAUUAUAUUAAACCAAAUCUCAAAAGCAACAAAAGACAAGUCGGAGACCCUUUCACUCAUGUGCUCACGGCUCUCACAAUUCUCAUCAGGCUCUUACCAAUUUCUUGGAGCCGUCCCUCCUCCAGUGUUAACAUGCUAGCAGUAGUGCUAUAUAUAUAGACCAACCAAGGGAGUAAUCAACCAAAACCGACUAGGAGUUAGACUAAUACUUGACUCAUUACUAUUCGGACUUGGACUCAAUUACGGAAACUAUACCUUAUCAAAACUAGGCACUGAAAAAAGAAACUAAAAAUGUGACAGCCCCAUCUUCUCCUAGGGCGUACCCUAAGGGAUAGCGAACUGCCUGCCCAUCUCUCGUUAGAACUACUAAGUCAAUCACACACAAGCUAAAACGUUCCGAAUGAUAGUACGACGCUUAAACAUUUCGACGACCGCGAAUAACGAAGAACGAAAACGAAAAUGAAAUGGAACAGUGACUGACACGUCACAAUCCGGCUGAUAUCUGGCCGGAUACCCGGCCGGAUUGGAGACAAUAGCUCAACUCAAUUUUUUUUCAAAAUUCCCUGUGAAUCCGGCCAGAUAUCAGGCCAAGAACUGGCCAGAUAUCAGACCAAGAACUGACCAGAUACUCGGCCAGAUUCAGUAAACAGUUACCCGCCAAAUUUUUCUUCUUUCUCGUUCAACUCCCGCACUCGUCCGAAAUCCAACCAAGUGCAAGUAAACUUUAUCUAAUACUAGAGAAUGUACAUUUCCAAGAAAAUACAGCAUAUGUCAUGAGUAAACACUUUUAUAUACACACGUUGGUAAGAUUACAAAUCAAAAGGAAUCAUUGGAUUGAGAUACAUUUAGGAUUUUCAACUAUCGAGGAGCUAUACGAAAGAACAAAAGAAUAUCUAACUAGCUCAACUCGUGUCUCAAAAUCAUGAUUUUCAAAAGUAGUUCCUGUAAGGAAAACAAAGAUAACGAGGGUGAGCUUACGCCCAAUGAGGUACCAACAAUUCACACAACCAAGAUUCACAAGUACAUACAUACUCGGUUAUACAUGGCCAUCAAACACAAAAAAGUACACCAUAAUGAAACCAGAAGUAAAAGGAUAGAGUCAGCUCUCAAGAGCCAAUUCCCCAUUUGCAGUACUUGAUCUCAACUCGUUGACACUCCGUUAACGUUCGAAGAAACGAACAAGACCGUAGAUCCCACUUUACACCAAAUACCUUCUACCAAACAUUUCUCUUACCGGCCCCGAACACUUCACAGAAAUAGAGAGGGCAAUACUCGAGUAUACCACAAGGUCGAGGAGAUAACACUCCACUCGAUUAACAGUAAAUUCAUGGUUCGUUAUCUAAUCGAUCAGGCCCUUGCCGGCUCGACCCGAUUAACAACCAAUGAGGUUUGAGCUCAGAUAUCAUAGUAAAGUUGUCGGACACAGUCCCAAACGAUAUCAAACCAUGCAUAGGUAAUGAAUUCACAGUUAUACAAUAUACAGUCACACAGAUAAGAGAACGAGAGUGAUAAAGUAUACUCUCGUCUCAUGCACAGAGUUCACAGUCAUUCAGUCCAAAGAUUCAAGGUCAAAUAACCAUUUAAACAUUAAAUCAUGCAAUGGUACACUCACCAGUUUAAGUAAACAAGUUCACAAGUUUCCUUCCGAUGUAUGCCUCGGAUCACCGGCACGUCCUAUAAACAAGCAAGAAACAACAAUUGAGACUCGAACACGAGUCAUAUACCUAUUCAAUGAACUACUAAUGCAAGACCAAAUCUAGCUUGGAAGGGAAAAUAAAUAACAUUUAGUGCUAGAAACAUAAACAAGUCCAAAACCUUUCAUUUCUAUCCAAUCUCAAUCUAAACUCAAAGGAACCCAAUAUCCUCAAACUUUGGACAACAUUUCCCCUUAAAUUUCACAUUUUCCAUCCUACAAACAACCAUUAUUACAUUCAUCUAAAACAAUCACAAGUACAUAUACAAAUCAUAGGCUAUUCAACACACCUCAUUAGGGUUACAAUACCCUUCAAUCUUAGCCAAUCAAAAGUUCAACAACCAACCAUAGUAAAGCCCUAAAUAGAAACCCUAAAACUAAAAUUUUGCUCUACAAACUGAAAUUUUCCGCAAACAACCACAACUAACAUAUAAAAGCUCCAUUUUAUACCAUAUCAAGCUAUCAUUCCAUGGCCAACCAACAAUUAUCAUAUAAGGACAGAAAAAUCACCAAUAAAAUCUGAAAUUUAUCUAGCUCUACCUCAAACCAUGAAAUCUUCCACAAAAUAGCAUAUUUAGCCACUAAAAACCACUAAUUUACCAUUAUUAAGAACAAAGAGGGAAUUUAUUGACAAAGUACCUUAGAACCACAAGAGAUAAGGUAGUUUAGUGCUUUUUCUUCACUAAUCACUCCACCAAUGCCUUUAAUCUUCCUUAGCAAGUCACUUUUAUAGAUAAAUUUGAGAUUUUAGUGAUUGGAUUUCAAGAUGUGAGCAAGAAAUGGAAAACAAAAGUUGAAGGUUUCUCUCUUCUCUCCUCUUAAGAAGCUCGGCCAAGAAGGAAGAAAAUGGAGAUGAUUUUGGGUCAAAAUUAGUUUUGGAAAAGUAAGAAAGAUUUGGUCAAAGUCCACCUUCGAAUAGUAACGCGACACGUGGCACCUCUAAUGUUUAUCUCAUCCUCUUAUCUUCCAAUACUAAUUAAUCUAACUAACCUCUAAUUAUUUCCUAACACCCGGUAAAAUAAUGUCCCUUAAUACAAACUUACCCUAAUUGUCCAAAUUUAUUGCACAAAAUGCGUUAGCGAGUCCCACGUGUAAUAUACACUACUAUUGUCUCAGAAACUAACUUAUACUAGAAAAAUGAUUUAAAAACUAAAUUCACUCAUAAAAAUAUCUAGAAAAUUAAUAUAAUAAAGAAAAUACCGAAAAUGUGUGCAAAGAAAUAAAAUAAUGCCUAAAAUUAAGAAAAAUUUUCGGGUUCUCACAAAAAGGAUUAGGAAACUAAAUAAUAAAAUUGCUUGAUUUAAUUUCCUUCAUUUAAGCAUAAAUCAUGAAGAAGCGAGAGAUGAUGAUGAUGACAGAAGCCACACGGAAGUAGGAGAGAAUGAAAGGUCAAGGCUCCGGUGGAUUUGGUUUUCUCUUUGUCGAGUAGCUGAUGUAAUGAACAAAGACCUUUAAAAGGGUGCAGCACUCUUUAAAAGUUAAAAUGCCAAAAUAUUGCCUUCGGUUGCUUUUCUAUAAGCUUUUGAGGAACAGAUUCCUCAAACAUUUUCAUGUCUACAGAUUUUACACAAUUACGUCCACGCACUUCUUUAAAGAAACGCAUACUAUUCUUUUCCAAGCUUUGACAUUAUUGUCUGACUUGUCUCGAUACCUAUCUAUGAAAUGAAACAUCUGAUGUAAAAUGUCCAAACAUCAUGUGCCCUCAAAAGAUUUCUCGUUAUUAUUAUAUUUUAUUGAAAAAAUGGGAGAGAAUGAAAAUAACGACGGAGUUUAUGAACAUGAACCUGGAGAUAAUUGCAUUUACAUAUGCAAGACCAAACUGCAUUGACGAUUUCCUAAAAGAACACAAAAAAAAAAAAUCCUUCUAUUCAAGGGCUGAAGGAUGAAACAUUUUUCGUCCUCUAUCAUGAAAACAAAGUUUAAGCCGUACCAAAAGAAGGAGAGUGCGUGUGCGUGUGCGUGUGCGUGUGGGCGUGAGUUCAGUUUAAGAAAGAAGAAAAUGACAAGGGUGCAAAAAGGGGCGGACUUUUUGAAGUUUGUCUUACAAACUUAGAAACAAAUUUGACCAAAAAUGGAAAGCAGAACCAAACGUGAAGAGAAUGAAGAAGAGCGUGCGGCAAAUUGACCCAACUUCAUCACUUAAUUAGUUCUAGGAGUUUAGUAUUUCCCUUUUUCUGUAUUUGUUUUCCUUUCCUUUUCCGUAUUUGUGAAGCUUUUUUUUUUUUUUUUGAAAAGAAAAAGAAUAGAUUAAGCUGUAAAAUUAACUAGUUGUCUGACUUAAAGGUGCAUAACUAAUUCCAAUGGGCUUGAAUGAAAAAACCAAAGUUUUGAUCUAGUGUUUAGUGUAUUGGAUUGGAGACUAGCUGUUCUAUUUGUUUCUAUGGAAGAAGAACUGAAGGAGCUCCCGGAUUAUACCCCAACAAAAAUGCUGCAAUUGCCUACGUCGUAAGUCCCCGGCAACUGCCGUUCUUAUUGUUAUGCUUCUGUUCACAUAAAGGCAAUGCACCAAAAAUAAACAAAACAGAGAGACAUCAAUUAAUUCCAUGGUGAAGGAGAAGCGGUGCUCCUGGGCGCGCGGGGUUUUGGUAAAACCAUAAUGCAGGUCAGGUGUGUAAAUUCAAGCUCUGAAAGAAGUAUUUAGUAAAGCAAGAGUAAUUCAUGGCUAAUGAAUUGUGGAAUCAGUUGUUCGCCUGUUUAUGGCUUGCUUGCUGUGAUGAUGAUCAUUACUCAAUGACUUUGAUGGUUCUGCUGCUGGACAGGGGUCUCCAAGGUUUAUAACACACUCGGCAUGAACAGGUUGAGCUGCGAGCGUCGUUGCUGCGCACGACAUAUUAACAAUCAAAUUACGGGCAAAUUUCAUUAUUUGGAUAGUUAAAGAAAGAAUAUGUCAAGAAAUUAGAUUCGGAUCUUCUCUACUUUCAGAAACUACAAUUCCGUUACAUACAGAGAGUCGUGAUGCUGAAUAUUAAAUAAAAGGGACUCAAAACUUCUGGAGUGGACUAAACUAAAACAUGUCAAAAAGAAGGAAGAACAAGCAAAGUGGUAUACCUAUUUUAAAGAAAAGUUCCUUGAUGUUGGUCUCAACCUUGGCAGAAGUCUCCAUGAAAAUCAGACCAUUUUGAUCAGCAAAAAGCUUUGCAUCCUGCAAAAGCAUUAAUAACGAACACCUGAAGAAUUGCCCUUCUGAGAUGUUGCAUAUGGUCUGUGAUUUUCACAUUUUCCAACAAUUUCAACAGAGCGAGCUGAGUUUGUUGACAUAAUUCAAUGAAGGUUUUUGUCGCUGUUUUGAUCUCAGAAAGCACAGCAAGAAACAUCCAGGUAAUACAUGCAAUUGAGUUUUAAAUAUCUUCUUGACUUUAGGAAUCUUAGUAAUUACUUCUACCUGAAUGAUUUAAACUUAAAACGAAGAAUUGUAUCAUUCACAAAGAAAGAAAUCCUCCAAGCAACAUUUUGUAUAAGCCAACAUCAGCUUUAGUAUCUAUCUUCCGUACGCAUUCAGGCCUUCUUACCAUGUGAUUAUCAAAUUGAAGAUUACAGAGUUCAUACAAACAUGCAACUACAAUAUUUUACUUACCUCUGUAGUAACUUGUCUCUUAUCCUCCAAAUCCGCUUUAUUACCAGCGAGUGCCAUGACAGGGAGAGCAAAAUCCCAUCUGGAUGCUAUUGAAAUUUACAAGCAUAGAAUGUAGUAGCAUUAAAAUGGGUUAAAAAGCAAAAGGAGUCAAACAGAUGAAAUUUGAAUCGAAGGAUAUUUGCUACAGUUACACCCGCACGCUUCAUGUACUCUACCCACGUCUUGGCCCCUUCGUAUGAAACCUGAUAAACCAAUUCAAGGAAAGUUUUCUUAACUACUAGCUACUCACUAUACAUACAUACAUACACACAUACAUAUACAUAUAUAUAUAUGUAUAUCAUAGACAAUGAUAUAUAUAUAUAUGUGUGUGUAUAGCCAAAUGCAAACCUACCUUGCUAGUUAUAUCAUAGACAAUGAUACAUCCAGCAGCCCCUCUACAACAGGAGUCGGGCAAGGCCCCAUAACGCUCUUGGGCAUUAGUGUCAAAUAUUCUCACUUUGACUGCUGAAUAGUUGCCCUGACCGCCCACCUCCAGGGUUCGCAGGAUGGAGUCAUCUCCCAGCAUAACCCUCUGAUAUUACAAUGAACAAGUACAACAUGAUCAACCAAUUUCAAAUGGUUUUUUAUUUUUUUAAAUACGGGAAAAAACUACUAACUGCCUAAAAUUGCUCACAUCAACAUCAGGGAAUUCUUCGUCCACAAAUUGGUUCACAAAACGUGAUAUAAUGCUGGAUUUACCAACUCCAAAAUCCCCUAAAGUAACUUGCCGGAUCCAAAAAAGAAAUUAAAAAUUAACAUGACCAAAAUAAAAUGAUAUCAUGGAUAUUUUUUCAUUAAUAGACUUGCGAAUUUUAACUCGGUAUUCUUGGCACCAAUAGUGUCCAUGGAGAGCUAUACUGGUCGAGAGCUUGAUUUUGAAAAGAAAAACAGAAUUAAUAGAGUUAUAGCUUGAAAAAUAAUAUAAACUAGAACAAGGUGAUAACAGCAUUCGUACAGAAUUAAUGUGGGUAUACUAUUCUUCUUUGACAUUCUAACAGCAAGAUUUAAACCUAAAAAAAAAAAAAAAUCAGCAGAGUCCAUUUUCUAAGAAUAGGCAAAUCAGAAAAUUUUAAUGAGAUAAACUUGUGCAGUUCGAAAACAUCAGAAACCAUCAAAUUAUUCACGUCCAGCAGUCAUCUCUAUAAGUGUGAAGCUCCGAUGCGUUUCCAUACCAUGAACAGAGCAACUUCAAAGAAAUUGGGCACAAAGCAAAUCACAAUUCCAGGCAUCCAUAUGUUUGCUUGCAAAUGCAAACCAAAGGAGAAAAAAAAAAAUCAGAGGAAGUGGAGCUUAAUAAGAGCAAACUUCUUGUCUCUGAAAUCAAAUAGAAUCAUUUUACUGGUGUGCUUCAUAUUUCAACCGGAAGGGGAAAAAAACCUAAAUGGCUGGAGAACAAGAGGUUUCCAGAAUUCCAAGCAUCAUUAACAUAAAAAUCGUUCCGAAAAAAAAAAGAUGAAAAGAUGAAUGUAGGAUAUCAUUAGUAUCAAAGUUUGAGCGAAGAGAGAGGAGGAUAUCAUUUAGGAUAAAAAAAAUGAUAUCAUUUAGGAUAUCAUUUAGUACCUGAAAUUUUUCAGGCAAUAGUAAGAAGAAACGAGAUAGCAGAGAACUGAGAAGGCCUGAGGGAGUUGGGACUGGGAAGUGAGAGGUAAAACCGUAGAAAAUGGGUGAGGCCGAGGGAGUAUGUGACUGUGUGUUGGGUUGUUGAAAUAUUGUGUGUGUGUGUGUGUGCGUGUCAGAAAACAGAUAUGCUUGAAGGCCAAGCUAACUGAGGCAAAUCUGUUAGUCCCAUUAAGAUGUUUAUAAAACACAUUUUUUGGAAGGAAAGAAUUCUUCUUUUUUUUUCCCUUAAGAUGUUUAUAAAUAGAGUCUAUAAAUAAUUAAAAAAAAUAAGAGUCUACAAAUAUAAGUUUACAGUCAUUUCUCCAGCAAAAAGCCACCUAUUAGGAGAAAAUGGGGGGUGUGUUCGAUUGUCAACUCUUAUAUUUAAGCGUCACCAUUCUAUAAUAAUCGUCAAAUGAUACGUCAGGAUUUAUUUGAUUGGCUAAAAGACACAAAUAUAUAAGUAAAUUAUUAGUAUAUAUAAGGCUGUGAGGAAACAAACUACAAGAAAUCAAAUUUAUGAAAAAGUAAAUUAUAUGCCAGAAUGAAGGAAUAGAAAAGAAUUCAUUACGGCCAAUUAUGGGACCCAAAAAAAAAAAAUUUAAAUAGAACGGAUUAUUUCUGGUUGAGUAAAACAGCUGUUUGGAUUCAUCAGUUUUUCAAAAACUAAAUUUUCAAAUACUAUAAAAAAUUUUAAAAAAUACUCUAAAAAGUAGUCUAAAUUUUUUUAAUAUUUAAAAAAUAUCCCAAAAUAUAUUAUAAAAAGUCUGCUACUUUUAAAUAUCCCAAAAUAUAUUCUAAAAAUAUCUCAAAAUAUACUCUAAAAACUCUGUUACAGUAAAAUUUUUCAAAAACACACCAAAAACAGCUAAUCCAAACGGCGUAUUUACAUGGUGACCCAUACUAGGGCUGGAGCUGAACCAAGUAGCUCGGCUCGAGCUCGCGAGCUACUUGGUCAGCAGCUCGAGCUCAAGCUCGGUUGACCAAGCUCGAGUAGGAGCUCAAGCUGCUCGUUAGAGCUAUCGAGUCGAGCUCGAUCUUGGAAAUAUGAUACUCGAGAGUUCGACGAGUUCUAUCGAGCUUUUUAUAAUAUAUAUUUUAAUUUUUAUUAUUGUGAAAUGUCAAUAAUAUCCUUUAUUUAAAAUUAUAUAUAAAAUAUUAAUUUUUAUUACUUGAGCUUGAUUAGACUUGAUUGAGCUCGAAUAAGCUUGAUUGAGCUCGAUUGAGCUUGAUUUGAAUUAAUUACAUUUAAUUAAACUCGAGCUCGAGUUCCAUAAAUUGAUGUCGAGCUCGAGCUCGAGCUCGAAUUUUAAAAGCUUGACGAGCUCGAGCUCGAGCUUAGUUAUUUUGCCUCGAGUCGAGCUCGAGUAGUGCUACUCGAGCUCGACUCAACUCGAUAGCACCCCUAACCCAUACACACAAAAAGAAAAAAAAAAGAACAUUAAAUAGUAACAAUUGGUAAUAUAUUUUAGAUAACAUAGGGCUUGUUAUUAAUUGAUUAUUUUAACUAAUUAUAGAUUCUGAUUUUGAAUAAUUAGUUUUUGUGAUAUUCUCGAUUGCUUCUGUAUUAUAAUUAUAGAUUAUUUAAUCACUAAAAAAGCUAAAUUUUAUAAUCACCCAAAGAGCAGCUUUUGCUAAUUCUAAUUAUUGUCUAUAAUCAGUUUCUAUAAUUAGAUCUUGUAAAAUCUAAAGUAAUUGAGAACAAGGCCAUAGACUUCGGAUGGAUGCUCUUUCUCAAAGAAAAUAAAAGAAACAAUAUGCCUUAGGCAGAAUUGCAUAAAAAGAAACCCAGACCUUUUGUUUCCAUCUUUUUUUUAUUUUUAUUUUUGGCUGGAUAAACUGGCAAUACUUGAAUGAUUAGUACUCUUAAGACUUUAUUUUGUUCAUCAAGAGUGAUACAAAACCCAAAAAAUGUUGAAUUGUCAAGCAUUGCGGCUUGACUUGUGUGGCAAACAUUUCCAUCCCACAUCGAUGGCAGCCAAGGAAAGCCUUCCGUUGUUUUCCUAUAAAUAGGGAAGCGUAUGAAGGUUUAAGGUGCACCACUUAAGAGAGUUAUAUGGGCUAUUAGCUUCUUGAGUCAUUUAGCCCAUUUAGUCAAAUAUUUUAGGCUCUCUUAUUUUGAGUUUAGGAAUAUUUUCUAAACUCUUUUGUAAGUGCCUAUUGGCCUAGGAACCACUUUCCUACGGUCUUUUGUAUUUCUUCUUCAUAGUAGAAAUAUUGCUCCUCCCUCGCCCGUGGACGUAGGUCAAUUUGACCGAACCACGUAAAUCUUCUGUGUCUUUUAUUUGCUUUGUUAUCCGUCUUUAUAUGGUCGGUUUUACCGCCUAAUUAUUAUAUGGCUGGUAUCUACCGCCUAUCUAUUAUAUGGUCGGUUAUACCGCCUACUUUGUGCUAACUUGAGUUUGUCUAUUCCUGGCCCGGUCCUAACAAACUGGUAUCAGAGCUGGUUGUUAUAUUUUGCAAGACAGGUUCAUCUGGUGGGGUCCGUCCAUCCUGUGGGGCCCACUCAUCCUGUGGGGUCCGUUUAUCUGUGGGGCCCACUCAUCCUUGUGGGGUCCUUUCAUCCCGUGGGGCCCGCCUAUCUCGUGGGGCCCGCUCACCCUGUGGGGCCCGCUCACGAGACUUGCAUAUUUGUUUGGCCAGUUUUUGAGACAAACUUCAAGUUACAGAAUUUGUGGCAACAAUGACGAUAACAAAGACGGUUGUCGAGAAAUUCGACAGGAAUGUCAACUUCGGAAUGUGGCAGCUCAAGAUGGAGGCCAUUCUUGUUCAAGACGGAGUUGAUCUAGCGAUUCACGGAAUCGAGAACAAACCAGAAGAUGUCAAGGAUGCGGAUUUCGCCGAUAUGGAUAAGAAGGCCAGAUCCAGCAUAAUCUUAAACCUCUCCGAUGAGGUAUUGCGUGAGGUAGCAACGGAGACUUCGGCCAAGGCUAUGUGGGAUAAAUUGAAAGCCUUGUAUAUGAAGAAGACAGUCGAAAAUCGGCUAUAUUUGAAGCAGAGUUUGUACAUGCUUCGGAUGUCUGAAGGUACAUCUAUACUCUCCCAUCUUGAUAAAUUUGAUUCCAUUAUUAUGGAUUUGGGGAAUAUAGAUUCGAAAAUUGAUGAUGAAGAUCAAGCCCUAUUACUUUUGUGUUCCCUUCCCCAGUCUUUUAAGCAUUUUCGCGAUACUAUGAUUUAUGGAAAGGAGACAAUUUCGUAUCGGGAAAUUAAAUCUGCAUUAAAAUCUAAAGAGCAGAUAGAUAGGGACAUUACUGGGGAAACUAGUGGGAGUCAAGCCGAUGGCUUGUUUGUUCGGGGUAGAUCUGAAAAGAGAAACACAGAAAAUAGAACUAGAUCCAAAUCCAGACAUAAAAAUGUGGUGUGCAAUUAUUGUAAAAAGAAGGGCCAUGUUAUCUCUGAUUGCUUUAAAUUGAAAAAUAAAGAAAAGCAAAAAGGGAAAUUUGUUGAGAAAAAUACUGAAUCCGCUGAGGCUAGUAUAGCAGCUGAUGAGAAUGAUGGAACUAUUUUCUGUGCAACGGAAAAUAAUUUUAGGUCUAACAAUGAGUGGAUUUUAGAUUCGGGUUGUUCAUAUCAUAUGUGUCCCAAUAGGGACUGGUUUUCAACAUAUGAAUCAACUGAAGGUGGAGUUGUCUUAAUGGGCAACAACGCUGUUUGUAAAGUUGUUGGCAAAGGCACAAUCCGGAUUAAAAUGUACGAUGGUAUUGUGAGGACGCUCACAGAUGUUAGACAUGUUCCAGAUUUGAAGAAAAAUCUCAUCUCUUUGGGCACUCUUGAGUCUAUCGGGUGCAGGUAUUCAGGUGGAGACGGAGUUCUCAAAAUCACUCGAGGAGCUCUUGUUGUUAUGAAGGCACACAGAUCUGGUACUUUGUAUAUUUUGCAGGGAUCUACUGUUACAGGUGCUGCUGCUGUUUCUACAUCAACUUUGUCUGAUUCUGAUUUUACCAAAUUAUGGCACAUGAGAUUGGGGCACAUGAGCGAGAAGGGCUUAUCUAUUUUAUGCAAACGAGGUCUUCUUGGUAGUCAAAGUAUUGGAAAGAUGGGACUCUGUGAACAUUGCAUUUUUGGAAAGCAGAAGAAAGUUAGCUUCCAGUUGUCGGCAGUUCACAGGACAAAAGGAACUUUGGACUACAUUCAUUCAGACCUCUGGGGGCCUUCUCGUGCUUCUUCUAAAGGAGGUGCCAAGUACAUGUUGACUUUCAUUGAUGAUUAUUCAAGGAAAGUUUGGGUAUAUUUUCUUAAGCAUAAAAAUGAUGUUUUCCUAACUUUCAAGCAAUGGAAAGUUUUGAUUGAGAAGCAAACAGGAAAACACAUUAAGCGGUUGAGAACAGAUAAUGGCAUGGAAUUUUGUGGAGGUGAAUUUAAUGAAUUCUGCAAGAAUGAAGGAAUUGUUCGGCAUCACACCGUCAGGAUGACGCCUCAACAAAAUGGUGUGGCUGAACGUAUGAACAGAACGCUUUUGGAGAGAGCAAGAUGUAUGAUCUCCAAUGCAGGGUUGACAAACGACUUUUGGGCAGAGGCGAUCAAUAUGGCCUGUUAUAUUGUCAACCGUUCUCCUUCUGCAUCUCUUGAUUUCAAAACUCCUGAGGAAGUUUGGUCAGGUACUCCUGCUGAUUACUCCAAUUUAAAAGUUUUUGGCUGUCCAGCAUAUAUGCACGUGAAUGAUGGAAAAUUGGAGCUUAGGGCUAAAAAGUGCAUUUUUCUUGGGUAUGCUUCUGGGGUGAAAGGAUACAGAUUAUGGUGUCCUGAUCCCAAAUCUCCAAAAUUUGUGAUCAGUAGAGAUGUUACUUUUGAUGAAUUGUCUAUGUUAUCUUCCAAGAAGGAGUCUUCCAGUCCUUGUACUACUGAUAGUACACAGAAGCAGGUGGAGCUUGAUAUUGGCAGUUCUGGUCCUUCUCAGACCAAAUCUUCUAUUCAACAAAUGCCAGUAGAUGCACCUGAGUCUACUGUGGAAGAUAGUUCAGAAGAAGAGGAAUAUUCCAUAGCCAGAGAUAGACAAAGGAGAGACAUUCGACCACCACAAAGAUAUGCAAAUUUAGUUGCAUAUGCUUUGUCUAUUGCAGAAGAAACUGAUGCAGUUGGUGAGCCUUCCACCUAUUCAGAAGCAGUUUCUUGUGAUGAUUCUGCAAAGUGGUUGAUUGCGAUGAAUGAAGAAAUUGAAUCUCUUCAUCGUAAUGAAACUUGGGUUCUUGUAAAGCCGCCGUCAGCUAAGAAAAUUGUCGGUUGCAAGUGGGUCUUCAAGAAGAAGGAAGGUAUUCCAGGGGUUGAAGAUGCAAGGUAUAAAGCACGAUUAGUUGCAAAGGGCUAUAGUCAGGUACAAGGUGUUGAUUUUAAUGAUGUGUUUUCACCUGUUGUUAAACAUAGCUCUAUUCGUGUUUUACUUGCUUUAGUUGCCAUGUAUGAUUUGGAGUUAGAGCAGCUUGAUGUUAAGACAGCUUUCUUACAUGGCGAACUUGAAGAACAAAUUUAUAUGAAACAACCCCAGGGUUUUGAAAUUGAAGGUAAGGAAGACCAUAUUUGCUUAUUGAAGAAAUCCUUAUAUGGAUUGAAGCAGUCUCCAAGACAAUGGUAUAAAAGGUUUGAUUCCUUUAUGUUGGGUCAUGGUUAUUUGAGGAGCAUGUAUGAUAGUUGUGUUUACUUCCGGAAGUUAAAUGAUGGUUCUUUCAUUUAUUUGCUGCUUUAUGUUGAUGAUAUGCUCAUUGCUGCCAAGAAUUUGUCAGAAAUUCACACUUUGAAACUGCAGUUAAAUAGUGAAUUUGAAAUGAAAGAUUUGGGAGCAGCUAAGAAAAUUCUUGGCAUGGAUAUCAAGCGAGAUCGAGGAGUAGGGAAGUUGUUCUUGACCCAGAAAAAUUACCUUGAGAAAGUUUUGGAGCGUUUUGGCAUGAAAGAUGCUAAACCAGUAUCUACUCCUCUUGCUAGCCAUUUUCGGCUAUCUGCUGCUCAAUCACCAAAAUCAGAUGAAGAGGAAGAUUAUAUGGCACAGGUUCCUUAUUCCAGUGCAGUCGGCAGUAUUAUGUAUGCAAUGGUUUGUACUCGUCCAGAUAUUGCACAAGCAGUCAGUGUUGUUAGCAGAUAUAUGUCUUGUCCUGGUAAAGCACAUUGGCAAGCUGUGAAGUGGAUUCUCAGAUACUUGCGAGGUACUUCAAAUGCAUGUUUGGAGUUUGGAAGAAAUAAUAACACUUUGGUUGGUUUUGUAGACUCAGACUACGCUGGGGAUCUUGACAGGAGAAGAUCACUUUCAGGCUAUGUAUUUUGCAUUGGCGGUUGUGCUGUUAGUUGGAAAGCUACUCUACAACCUGUCGUAGCUUUGUCUACUACUGAAGCAGAAUAUAUGGCUGUGACCGAGGCAAUCAAAGAAACCUUGUGGUUGAAGAGUUUAUUUAGCGAGCUAAGUCUAUAUCAAGGUGUUAUUGAUAUUCACUGUGAUAGUCAAAGUGCCAUACACUUGACUAAAGAUCAGAUGUAUCAUGAGAGGACGAAACACAUUGAUGUGAAGUAUCACUUCAUUCGGGAUAUCAUUGCUGAGGGAAAAGUCCUUAUUCAGAAAAUCAAUACCAAGGACAAUCCAGCUGACAUGUUUACGAAACCUCUUCCAGUUUACAAGUUCAAGCAGUGCUUGAAUUUGGUUGGUGUUCAUUGUUGGUGAUUUAAGCCCAUUGGGGCUUAUGUGGAAAAGGUGGAGCAGUUUUACUAUUGUCGAUGGUGGGAUUCCAAAUUUUGCCAAGGUGGAGAUUUGUUGAAUUGUCAAGCAUUGCGGCUUGACUUGUGUGGCAAACAUUUCCAUCCCACAUCGAUGGCAGCCAAGGAAAGCCUUCCGUUGUUUUCCUAUAAAUAGGGAAGCGUAUGAAGGUUUAAGGUGCACCACUUAAGAGAGUUAUAUGGGCUAUUAGCUUCUUGAGUCAUUUAGCCCAUUUAGUCAAAUAUUUUAGGCUCUCUUAUUUUGAGUUUAGGAAUAUUUUCUAAACUCUUUUGUAAGUGCCUAUUGGCCUAGGAACCACUUUCCUACGGUCUUUUGUAUUUCUUCUUCAUAGUAGAAAUAUUGCUCCUCCCUCGCCCGUGGACGUAGGUCAAUUUGACCGAACCACGUAAAUCUUUUGUGUCUUUUAUUUGCUUUGUUAUCCGUCUUUAUAUGGUCGGUUUUACCGCCUAAUUAUUAUAUGGCUGGUAUCUACCGCCUAUCUAUUAUAUGGUCGGUUAUACCGCCUACUUUGUGCUAACUUGAGUUUGUCUAUUCCUGGCCCGGUCCUAACAAAAAAUUUUCUUCAUCUUUCUCAGAUGCGAAACCUUGUUUGAAGUUUGCCGUGAAAUUGCGCGUCCCAUGCGGGAGUAAGUUUAUAUGUUCUUCUUCUUUGUAGGCACGUUAUCAUCCUAUUCAAAUUAAUUGCAAUGAAAAAUUCCACACGAGAUUGCCCAGAGGAAAGAAAAGUAAAGAAAAUCGGAGAUUAGAAAUUGCACUCGUCGAAUGGAUUAGAAGGGGUAAGGUUCCUUUACAAAACAUCCGAGCUAAAAUUGAUUAUUGUUCCUAUACAGUUCGAACUAUUUAUGAUGUAUUAGGCAUAAAAAUUUAAAUAUUUAUAGACGAGGAAUAAUAAAUAAACUUUGACUUUUCUUUUCCUUUUAUCUAGUUUAGAAAGCUAAAUUUAAACCUCUUCAUUCCUUUUCUCAAAACUAGUCAAAUAAAAAUUCGAUUGAUUAUUUGAUAAAAUUGCUAUGCUUAGUGUGUGACUCGUUGAUUUUUUAGGGUUAGAAUUCAAAAAAUCGGCCUCUAAUAACCAACCUAGCACUUCGCAAAAUCUAUUUUUAAUUAAGAAGUCUCUAUCAGAAAGCAGAUUGAAUUUUUCAAAUUAGGCAAAAAAGACGAAUUUAUUAUUUUUAUCUUACGCAUAUAAGUCAAAUAAAAUAUAAAAAAAUAAAGAUUUUUUUUUAUUUUUCUCUAUUUCCAAUGAUGCAAUACAUAUUGAUAAUCUCCUAUUAUUCCAGUGUUUUGAAAAUCGGAUCAUGCCUCCAAUCCAAUUCAAUGAAUAAUCCAAAAAAUCAAUUGAAUUCGUCAAAUUUGGCCAAAAAACGGUUGAACCAAUAAAAAUUUUGAGGUUCAACCAAUUUUUAUUAUCUAAAAUAAAUAUUUUAAUUUUAUUCAAAAUUUUUAAUGCUAAAAUAAAUAAAAAAUUAUUAUACAUUUGAAUCAAAAUUGAACCAGGCAAACUGAAAAUUUUUUUGGUUCACUCUUAGGCCCGAAUUUAAAGACAUUGAUUAUUCCUAGCCUCACAUACUUGCUCAAAAAGGCUAUAGAAGUAGCAAAUUUGGACGAGCGGACUGAUACUCCACCCUUUUUUCCCCUUUUUUUUUCCUUUUUUGUAAAGGAUGUAUUGCUGGCUGAUCUAAUCUCAGUCCGGACUGAUUAACACAUUUGAUUCCGUUUGUUUACGGACCCCAUUUAAAAAAAAAAAAGCUUGUGAUGAAUAAAAGUUGAUACAGAAGGAUUUCUCCCCAAGUAUACCUGCCACUCAUAUUCAUACUAUCACAAGAUUUCUUCGCAGUUUCAACGAUGUGUCUCAAUUGGUUUCUAGCAAAAUAUGCAUGAAGCACAAAAUUUAUCAAAACCGCCCCUUAACUUAGUAGCAGCAUACUAGCAUCUAUAUCCUAUAUGACAGAAACAGAGAAUUAUUCAAAAUCCCAGCACUUUCAGCUUAAAGAUGUCAGGAGUUUUAACCCUCAGACAAGCAUGCACCAUUCUCUACGACCUCAUUCCACCAUGGCAUUUUCUUCGGGAAGAAUUCAUCAUCUGGAUACAUCUUCUGAAACAGCUGCCACAAAUAGCAGAAGGGCCUUCCCUCAGUAUACAUAUGUUACUAUGCUACAGAUCCAAAUCAAAUCUCCAAGUUCCAGGACAGAAGAAUAAAAAAAAGAUUAAACAGAUCUCGUUCUGAAACUAAUUGCAGCAUCAUUUACCUUUAAUGCUGCAUCUACAACAUGGCUAUAUUGCAGAUUCCCAUCAGGCAUAGGGGUUGAACUAACACAAUCAAAUCCACCCUACAAGUACCAAGAUUUCGGAGCCAUUAGCCAAAAAAAAAAACGAAUGCACAUUUCAAACCAAUACUAGCUUAUCCGAAGGGUAAAAAUGGGAGGAUGAAAUGCAGAAAAUACAUGCAAACUAAUUGUAAACAUGGUGAGAAUCUAGUUUAUAAGAAAAGGGGUAAGAUAGCAAAAGAAAAACAGAAAGCACAAAAACAAACCAUAAUUAGCUCUUGUAUGUACAGAGUGCUCCAAAGUAAAGUCGGUUUCACUUUCACAACUGUAUUCUCCCUCAGAGGAUCCCUAGAAUUAUCCUCCGAGUUACCAGAAACAGAAGUUGAAAACAAAGCUUCUUUUGCUGCAUUUAUUGAUCUCUUCCCUUGAACAACAUCACCACAUAUAGUUGAUAGAUAGACGACGAACCUGCACAAGAAGGGAAAACAUCAGAGGAUGGCACGUUCAUCUCCACAUAAGGAAUUUCAAGUUCAAAAAGCAUGAUUACUGUGAUUUAUAAAUUGCACUAAAAUAUUGUUCAGAAUGGCUCACAUCUUUAGCAACUAAGAAAGAGUUAAUUGAAAAGUAUUUCAUCGUCUCUUAUCUUUGAAUCACAAAAAUAAGCAUGUCUGGCACAAAUUCUUUCCUAGCACAUAGAAUCUACCAAAAUGUACUGGCAUUCCACGUUAUCUUUUGACAGGUAACUUACAUGCCAGAGGGACAAGCCCGCACAUUACUGCUCAAUUGGAAGAUGCGGACUGAUGUCAUCUGGUCAGGGCAUAAAGCUAGAGAGUGAAAGUCAGCUAAUAAAGUAGUCUAAAUCAAAUACAAGAAAAGAAUUAUGUUGUAUUCGGAACUUACAUUUAGGGGUAUAGAACACCAGACAAUUUGCUACAUCCGGUUUAAAGGAAUUAUCUGUGAUGCAAAUUCCCCUGACCACCUUCUCUCUGGCAUCUUGUUGGACAAAAUCAUAAUAAACAUCUUGUGGAGAAACUGAGGGAGUAGUCAACCCUGGUGGGAUCACAAAUGUGGGGGCAAGGAUAAGAUGAUGGCUGAAUAAUUCUUGUCCCGUAACCAGCUUAACGCCCUUAUAAUUCCCAACAUCCUGCAAAAUGUGCAAAGUGAUACAUACAAACUCAUAGAUUUCUCAUCAGCAGCUAUGCUGGGUGUAGAAGAGGAAUGGCAUAAAAAAGAAAGCAAAAAAAAUUCAACCAAACCUUGUCAACAAGCAGACCAACCACAGGCAUUUGAGUAAUCUGCAUGAAGAAAUUAGUAAAAUUAAGGAAUGCUUAUGACUCAACAAAAAGAACAAGAGAAUCAGUGGCAUGACUCAUACAUCAACCCAUCACUCAUCAGCAGUCAGGUCAAGGAAAAAGAGAGUAGGAAUAAAGCAGCAGUGACACCCACAGCUUAUUUUAGAGAGAGAUGUUGCUCCUUUUAAUGUUUCUUCCACCCCUUUUCUACCUUGACAAUGGCAGCUAAUUAAAACCCAAGUCCAAAAGCUUAAUGUAACUAGUAAUUGUCAAUGCCCCAUGAUGAAUAAAAUGAGCAGCCCAGAAUAAAUAAACGUUUGAGUUGUCCAAAUGUUAGACCAUAUGCUUUAUGAUUAAAUACUCACCGAAAUGCCACCCAUGAUAGCAGCACGACGGCAAAAGAAAUGUGCCAGUUCUCCUUGUCCAUAAAUAGGAUAUAGCAUAGCACCAGUUGCACCACGGAACCUAUAAAAGUUGAUAGAGUAAUGCCCUUGAGCAUGAAAUUUCAAAACUGGAAAAAGAACUGAAUGUAUUCAUAUCUUUACUUCUUUACAAGAAAAAUGAACAAAGAACUACAACGAAGUACAACGAAGUACAAGGAGAAACACCUUUGCUUCAACCCAGUAAUCUAUAAACACAACAAUGGUGGCAUUAUAGCCAAAUUGACUAUGAUGCAGGUUAUAAAAUCAAUGACACAAAUCAUACAACUAAUGAAUCCCAGAUGGGCUCUAAUAAGACAAGCAAGAGUUUUAAGAGAUCAUAAAAAAAAUAUUAAACCUGGGGAGUUGUGAUCAUUUUGGACUGGACAACAUACAGAGUAGCACAGGACAUAAUUAAAAUAAUCCUGAGCGUAAGAACAUUUACUCCCCUUAACUGCAAAAUGUUGUCUGCGUGUUUUACUCGCUGUUGAGAAUCAAAUUAAUGCUGAUAAUUCCCAAUCUCUCUACCUCACACAAACUUAAGAAUCGAUGAAUCUGUACAUAACACCAUUGGAUGUGGUUCUCAAAUGAAACAAACAUGAUAGAAGACGAAAACCUGCCGACGGAUUUAUGAUAAAGCAUUAAACGAUCAAUCCCCACUUUUGUCUUGACAAUGUCCUUUUUGCAAGCUUCCACAUUGUCCUGUUCAUAAUCUGCCAUCGUAAUCGCAUAUAAAAUGAUCCUAGACAGACAGGCAAAAAAUAUAUCAAAAGUCAAAAAUAUGCUGAAAUGCAACUAAACUCCAAGUAAAUGCAUCCUUAAGAAAAGAGAAGUUACAAGUAUUACACUAGUUGAUCAAAACAUGUCAGAAUUUGAGAAUUUACUUUCACUUCGGGUAUAGUAAACAGAGUCAUAAUUCAGGCAGUAUUCACUCAUAGUAUUAGGCUAAAAUUUAAGUCAAUAAGAAGCCAAUCGGAAAGAAGAGAAGGUAAAACCGUCCCAUUCUAUAUCAAACCACAAAAGAGAAGUUAAAAAAUAAACCCAACACAGUAAAAAUUCAUAUAAGUUCAGAAACAGAGAAAUCAUGGGUAAAUGGAAGAAAUAAUGGUUAUCUACUUACGAUGUUAGCUUGGGAGACAAGCGAAUUUUGCAAGUCAAAAACUCCACAAAUGGAGUCUCUAAAUCCUCUGGGGUGAUUUUCAUGCUACUAUUAUUUUCGUCGUCCUCCUCGUUACUAGUCGUGGUACUAGAUUUAGAAUUGGAAUGAUAAUGGGCCUGAAGCAGCUUGAAGAACCUCAUUAACUGAUUCUUCUCCUUCAAGCUCAAGCUUCUAUCUCUGAAUAUGGCGUUACGUGAACCCGGCACACUAUUCCACAAAAGCCCCCCACCUUUGCCUUUUUGGCAUUCAUCAUAAAUACAAUAGCUGGUGUCCACGCUCAUGAAACUCAUGCAGUUCUGAACAUCCACAUCCACAAUCAAAUCCACCAUGGGAUCCGCGCAGAAUAGAACCCUAGGCCCCGCUAAAUCAAGGUUAAAUUCUUUUUGCAGUGAAUCAUCCAAAACUUUUUCAGGGGAGUACACGUGGACCUCCACGGAAGAGUAGAGAGGGCGAGUGCUGAGGGGCAGAAUGUUGAAUGAGGAGUCGGUUGUUUGGUCGGUUGGUGAAUCGACCGUACGAAAAUCAGUAUAAUCAUGAUCAGAAGUGGUAGCAGAAUGGAGAUGGAGGAAAGAGAUGAGGUCUUUGGGUGAAAGGGAAGCAAAGGGGCUAUGGUAGUAAGGGUCAGGAUUGAUUUGAAGUACGGUCUUUCCGGCUGAAGCUGCAGCGGCGGCGAUGAUGGACUCCGGAAGUCCGGUGCCCACCACAAUUAGAUCAAAACUGGUGGGUUCGAUUCGGGGCGGCCCUUCAUCCUCCUCAGCCGCCAUGUAUGUCAUCAACUCACCCGCUCUUUCGCCUACGGGGCAAUGUUUUAAAACUCGGACCGUCAAUUGAACCGGUGAAGUGAAAGGGUCGAUGUUCAAUCGGUCGGACCGAUUCAAUCCCGGUUCAAUAAAUAAAUAUAUAUAUAUACACACACAUAUACACACACACCUAUGCACAUAAUUAAUACAUAGCUAAUUAUGAAUAUUCAACAAAUAAAUUAAUACAUAGCCAAGGAGGAUGGGAAAUUUUGUAUCAAAUUUCUCAAAUAACAAGAAGACAUCCAAUGGCACCUUAACAAAAGAUAAUCCUAGUUUUGUAAUAAUUGCCAAAACUAAAAUAUACACCUAGUGAUGCACGGCUAUGAAACAUUAGUGCUACUAGUGAUUCGGGACACAUUAUAGUGGAUCAAUUGUAAAUUUAAAAUGAUUUGAUGCAUUGCAAUAAUUUUAGUAGAAUCAAUGAUGCUUAAGACUAUUCGUCCUUCUUUAAUUCCAUGAUGAUUUGAAGUCAACAUCCGUGAACUUUUUCCACUUGUGACCAUGAAACUUUCUAUCUAAAAUGGUACAAAUCCUUACUCGAUCCAUCACUGUAAUAAAGAAACAAGUAUGCAAAAUUUAUGAAGACUUGCAGCUUUAUCAUUGUGGAAUUUCAGGAAACAUACGUCUACUGGAGUUCAUGUGCAUAUGAGGUUUUUUUUUUUACUUUCAUUCACAAAAGCCUAUUCAAAAACAUUUUGUGCAGAAACUCGCACUUUCUCUUGGCUAGCAGUCUCCAUAGUAAGAUAAUAGAUUAACCUAUUGAUUCACCUUUGCUACAAUCUUCGAGCCAGGCAACAAAGGCAACUAACGAGUAAAAAAACAAAACAAAACAAAAAUUACAGGACAAACAGACUGAUGAGCUUAUCUAAUUUGAGGACAAACCAAAAAAAAUACCUUAUCUAAUUUGAGGACAAACCAGAUCUUUUGUUUUUCAACUUUUUUUUACUUUACCAAGUUAGUCUAUGAAAUGGAGGAAUAGCAAAAAUAUAAUCUAAUCAUUUAGGCUGCUGCUGCAAUGACAAGUCAAUAAAGAUCAUAUGCCCAACAAACAAAUUGUAUAAUUAGAGGCUCCCCCAAGACAUUGAACGUACGCAUGCAAAUUUCAUUACCGAAUAUCAGGAAGUAUCGUAAACCAAUUCAUAGUGAAAAAAGAAGAUAGAUUCUUUCAGUUUCUUCAUAGUCCUGCUAAUUUCGAACCAAAAUGAAGCAACAAAAAAUUUACCAAUCAGCUGUGCAACUCUGGAGCAGGAAAAUUACAAACAUAUACAAAAAUUUAUUCACACUAUCUUAUCUUUCAAGCAACAACUUAAAAUGAAAUAGGAUUUUACGGCAUCAUCAUUCUUCUUCAAUUAUGACACUACUACAAUUCCCUUCCAACAAAAGUUCCAACUGAACUAGUAACCAAAAGAAGAUAACAGUACAGUUCAAUCAGCUAUUACAGAAUCAGAUCUACCAACUGCAACUGGACCAAUCUACAACUACAAAACUCAUAACUGCAGUGCAAGAAUUAUAACUAAUAAUCAAAACCCACAAAAAUUCACAGAAUAUCAAUCCAGAAAUUCACAUAUUGCCUCUGAUCUUCCUAUAGCAAGGCAAAACAUGAAACUGCAAGCAUCAAAAUUCAAUCUUUUUCCCAAAAACAGCAACCACAAAGGGCCGAGGGGACGGUUCCUAAAACCCAGCAAUCAACAAAGAAAGAUUAAAAAAAAGGGAAAAAGAUAAACGAACCCGGUAAUAGCUUGAAUUCCAGAGUUUUUUGGCUUAGAAUCGAUGCGGUGAGUAGAAAAACUUCAUGCUUCCUUUUUGCUGAUUGCUAUGGAUCAAGAUUGGACUUUGGACUUUGGACUUUGGAGAAGGAUUAGGAUUAAGCCAUUAAGGGGAGAAGGAAUUAGAGACGGCAAUUUUAGGAAGCAGGAAGACCGAAGAGUGAAGAUUGAAGGCUAGGUUUAGAUAAUUUCGGUAAAUUCCACAAUGAUAAAGCUGCAAGUCUUCAUAAAUUUUGCAUACUUGUUUCUUUAUUACAGUGAUGGAUCGAGUAAGGAUUUGUACCAUUUUAGAUAGAAAGUUUCAUGGUCACAAGUGGAAAAAGUUCACGGAUGUUGACUUCAAAUCAUCAUGGAAUUAAAGAAGGAGUACGAUUACUUGAACAGAAAUUCGCAACAGAAAUCCAACUGCCGCCCAAAACCAUGACGCCAAUAAGAUUACUUGUUUGGGUAAUAAACAUUUAAUUCACGUAGCACUAGACUAUUAGUAGUAGACUAUUAGUACUGUACCAGAAAAAGCUAGAGUGAUGCAGGGGUCUCAAUUGCAGAGUGAUGCAGGUUAUACCAAUAGCAGUUAAUGUUCUUCUUAAAUGUGGGCGAGCCCAAGAAAAAUAAGAGUAUAAAAGAGGAAACAGACCUGGAACUUAUUGUAAUAUACAUCCAUCCAUCCAUUAACCAGGUUUUGUUACUUAGUUGGAACUUAAGGCUAAGCUAGACUUAGUUCGAUACUUAUCCAUCCAUUAACCAGGUUUUGUUACUUAGUUGGACAGAUUCUGAUAAACUUAGCUAUAAAGUGGAAAUGAGUGAAAGUUUAACACUGUAGGGGCACAUAAUCCUUGUUUGCUUGUGACACAGAAUACUGCUAAUUAAUAUUGUGCUGAAAAUGACUUUGGCGAAUUCUCAUAAACUUUCAAAGUUUUGUCUUAAGAAGGUUAAAACUUCCUUAGAAACCUAUGACAAGCAGCUAUGAUGCAAUCAGUCAACCAAAUCAAAAGGGCAGACAAUUAUAUUAUUGAAAUGCUCAACGGAAUUGCAAAAAUUCUCUGCAUCCAAGCAAUGCAGAGCUAAAAACACCAUAGGAUCAUGCCUGUUGAAAUAGCAAAAUCCAUUUUCUUUCAAAAUCUGAUUUAUGGGAUCAUGCCUAUGAACUGCUAGCAACGUACAUACAUAAAAAUAAAACAGGUAACACAGGGACAGAGAAGUUGGUUGGUGGAUUGUGGCUGGGGUUAGAGGUGGAUGGAUGGACUGGAGACUGUAGUUGGUAAAUUAGAAACACAGCAGACAGAAGUGUCUUGGAAUCUCAUGACUUGGGAAGCUGCCCUGCUUGUGUUUCAUUUCGUUUGAGGAAAGAUUUCAGUAUAUUAAGACAAAAGUGUUUCCACGGUUAUAUUCCCUUUUCAAUCAAGCAGCUACGGCAAGAAUCAGCCCGUGGCUUCACAAACUCAAUGAAUUCACUAAAACUUUUACAAACGGUCUCACCAGAUUGUAAGAAAAGCACUACCCUACCCUACCCUAUCCGGAUUCUGAUUCCAAGAAUCAUAAAACCCCCAAAACUCAGCAGCCAAAUUAAUUCAUUAGCAUCAAUCAAAUCAGAUUUAACCCUAAUCAGGUAAGAACAAACUAAAACAAAAGCAACCCACAAAAAUUCAUUCAAAUGCAACUUCAAGAAUCUACACCAGUAAUUCUAGACAAUUUUUCAAAGGAAAAGGGAGGGGAAAAAAACUAAUAAGAGACCAUCAUACCUC
Molecule: long non-coding RNA, 45175 nt
Filed under: Coffea arabica (coffee)
Lineage: Eukaryota; Viridiplantae; Streptophyta; Magnoliopsida; Gentianales; Rubiaceae
Description: long non-coding RNA (CARA_LNC007836)
Source: RNAcentral